UCAUGUAAAUUCUAAUUCAAAGAAACAAUCUCGAAACACAACCUUGAAGAAGUCAUUGUAUCCCAUUAAUUCUACUUUAAUUGUCUAAGCACAGAGAAGUCUAGAACUUAGAACAUUUCAUACAAAAGCUACGAUCAAUACCUAGCGUUGACUCUAAGUACGUCCACACUAAACAGGAAUCAUUACGAUUUAUUAGAAUGAGAUUGAACAACAAACACAUAUCCGAGAAGUCGUAACAUGCAAUCGUUGUAGUUUAUGUUUUCAACCAUUAUUACAUAGUUUCCACCACUUUAGAUCUAUACUUACUUGAAGAAGCUUAGCACAAAUCAUGGUAAUCAGCUAGCAUGCAUUCUAGCUUUAGUAAUUUAAACAAAAACGCAAACUUUCAAUCAACAAAAAGUUGCAAGAUCAGAUCAUAGGAAAAUCAUAAACGAAAUACUAACAUGCUUUAUAAAAUUGUGAAUCCAGAGAACACAAAAGCAAACAAAACAUGCUUCCAAAACUCAAACUUAAUAUCCGAAACAUGCUAUUAAAUUUGUUAGAGAAGUCUAAACAAAAGUAAAGGUAGGUUUACACUUUGAUCAAUCUCCAAGAAAGCUUGAUGACGCCAAAGGGAUGCUCAGCUUCAGUGCUUCAAGUCACCAACGUUGCUGCCUUCAUGGAGAAGUCCUUGAAGGCUUGGCAAAGGAGGAAGAACUCGGCAAAGGUGGAGAAGAGGAGGCUCGGCUGCUGCUAGGGUUUUCUCUAAUUUUUAUGUGAAUGAACCACCCCAACUUGUGAAGCAGACAACCUCUANNNNNNNNNNNNNNNNNNNNNNNNNNNNNNNNNNNNNNNNNNNNNNNNNNNNNNNNNNNNNNNNNNNNNNNNNNNNNNNNNNNNNNNNNNNNNNNNNNNNNNNNNNNNNNNNNNNNNNNNNNNNNNNNNNNNNNNNNNNNNNNNNNNNNNNNNNNNNNNNNNNNNNNNNNNNNNNNNNNNNNNNNNNNNNNNNNNNNNNNNNNNNNNNNNNNNNNNNNNNNNNNNNNNNNNNNNNNNNNNNNNNNNNNNNNNNNNNNNNNNNNNNNNNNNNNNNNNNNNNNNNNNNNNNNNNNNNNNNNNNNNNNNNNNNNNNNNNNNNNNNNNNNNNNNNNNNNNNNNNNNNNNNNNNNNNNNNNNNNNNNNNNNNNNNNNNNNNNNNNNNNNNNNNNNNNNNNNNNNNNNNNNNNNNNNNNNNNNNNNNNNNNNNNNNNNNNNNNNNNNNNNNNNNNNNNNNNNNNNNNNNNNNNNNNNNNNNNNNNNNNNNNNNNNNNNNNNNNNNNNNNNNNNNNNNNNNNNNNNNNNNNNNNNNNNNNNNNNNNNNNNNNNNNNNNNNNNNNNNNNNNNNNNNNNNNNNNNNNNNNNNNNNNNNNNNNNNNNNNNNNNNNNNNNNNNNNNNNNNNNNNNNNNNNNNNNNNNNNNNNNNNNNNNNNNNNNNNNNNNNNNNNNNNNNNNNNNNNNNNNNNNNNNNNNNNNNNNNNNNNNNNNNNNNNNNNNNNNNNNNNNNNNNNNNNNNNNNNNNNNNNNNNNNNNNNNNNNNNNNNNNNNNNNNNNNNNNNNNNNNNNNNNNNNNNNNNNNNNNNNNNNNNNNNNNNNNNNNNNNNNNNNNNNNNNNNNNNNNNNNNNNNNNNNNNNNNNNNNNNNNNNNNNNNNNNNNNNNNNNNNNNNNNNNNNNNNNNNNNNNNNNNNNNNGUAUGGACGAGUGUAAAUACAUACAUAUAUUAUAGAGUCUGAGUAGGCUCAAUAUUUAUGAGAUUAAAAGUUUAUCGCUUGCGGCAUGCAUUCGUAUUUUUCCUUAGAAAUUAAUUUGGGAAACAUAAAUAUUUUAUUUUAUUUUUGUCCACUCACUCUAACAUUAUUAAAUGUUUUCCCCUGGGCCCUUUGUUUUAAAUUGCCCAGUCUGCAGAGUUCGGGUUGGAUCUAGUAGGAGACGAGGCAUAGUCACCCGCAUUUCUGCCAGUUUUCGCCAGUAGGUUACUUGUUCAACCUACUCGUGUUUUCUUGCUUCCGCUUGUGUUUAGUAGCUCUGAAUACUUUAGAAUUUUUGUAUAUUAUGCGAUGUUCAGAAGUGAUAAAUUAAGAGUGUAAUUUGAAAUUUUCGAGUUAGGGUUGUCCAUCUGCAAGGGAGAUUUUCUUAAUCUUUUCAGUAAAUUUUCCUUGGAGGUGGUCCCCGCACGACUUACUCUGGGUUUCAGGGUGAAAUUCGGGGUGGGUCGUGUCAUCUGAUCCAAUGGUCUGGAAUAAUUGCUUUAAAUCCUGAUUUAGACCUUCCCAGAAUUCUCUGGAAUGUCUUGUGCAGAAAUCCAUUGCAUGAGGCUUGACUAUGGACCAGGUACACUCCUUGUUCCAAAGGAAAUCCCUGUGAUUAAGAACUUUCCCUCUUCUGUUAUCAAUCAGGCUUUUUGACGAAAAUUCCCUUCCUUUAUUUGUGCGCAAUUAGGGUUCCUGGAAGGGAAAUAAAGUCAGAUAAAUAUGGUAGGGGAUAACAGAAUUCAAAUGACGAAAUUAAGGAAAGAAUCCCUUAAUUUCUGAUUUAUAUUAACACAUAAAUCCCUUGAUUACAGUAGAAUUCGUCCUCCUCCUUUUAUACACAUUCACAGACUCCUAUUCCAAGUUGGAUUAGGUUUCCUAACUUCAAAUAGAUUCCCUGUCUCAUAAGGAAUGAAAGUUUCCUCAAUAUUUUAGGAAAGUCAGAAUAGGAAAGAUUCAAAAGUAGUAAAGUUCCUAAAUCAAAAUAAGAAAGUUUCUUAAACUGAAAUAGGAAAGUUUCCAUUUUCAAAACAGGAAAGUUUCCUAAACGACUUAUCCUUUUUAAUUCGCCUGGUUUAGCUUCUUUUUUUCACUUUUCUGCUCUUUUACCUUUACAAUCACAAAACAUGUUUAAAAUGACAAUGUUAAAAGAAUAACAUAACUAAAUAAGGUAGAAAAUACGUUAAUAUCGUAGCACUUUGUGCUCCUAUCAUUUUCUCAAAGAUUGACUUGAGAUCUGGUUAUCAUCAGUUGCGGAUCCGGGAGAGUGACAUAGCCAAGCCUGCUUUUCGGUCACGAUAUGGUCAUUAUGAAUUUGUGGUGAUGUCGUUUGGACUUACUAAUGCACCUGUGGCGUUCAUGGAUCUCAUGAAUAGGGUGUUUAGUCCAUAUCUAGAUUGUUUCGUGAUCGUAUUCAUAGAUGACAUCUUGGUUUACUCAAGAAGUGAGAAGGAGCAUGCCAAGCAUCUAAGAAUAAUAUUGUGGACUUUGAGAAAUUCUCAGUUAUAUGCUAAGUUUAGCAAGUGUGAGUUUUUGCUAGAUAAAGUGAGGUUCUUGGGUCAUGUGGUUUCAACAGAAGGAGUUAGUGUGGAUCCCCAAAAGGUGAAAGCAGUGUCAAAUUGGAGAAGACCCACCACUGUGACGGAGAUUCGUAGUUUCUUGGGAUUAGCAGGUUAUUAUCGGCGCUUUGUGCAAGAUUUUUCAAAGAUUGCUGCUCCUCUUACAAGUUUGACCAAGAAGGGUGUUAAGUUUGAAUGGUUAGAACAAUGUGAGCAAAGUUUUCAAGAAUUGAAGAAUCGCUUGACUAGUGCUCCUGUUUUGGCACUUCCAGAUGAUAGUGGGGAGUAUGUGGUUUAUUGUGAUGCUUCUAGACGUGGUCUAGGUGGGGUAUUGAUGUAGCAUGAUCGAGUUAUUGCCUACGCUUCUAGGCAAUUGAAGCUGCAUUAUCCCACUCAUGAUCUAGAGCUUGAAGCGGUAGUUUUUGCUCUCAAGUUGUGGAGACAUUAUCUUUAUGGAGCCAAGUGUCAGAUUUUUACCGAUCACAAGAGUCUUUGGUAUGUGUUCACUCAAAGAGAGUUAAAUAUGAGACAGAGAAGGUGGAUGGAGUUGUUCAAUGAUUAUGAUUGCACUAUCGAAUAUCAUCCUGGAAAAGCUAAUGUGGUAGCUGAUGCUCUUAGUCGAAAUCCCUCCAUAUCUUUAUCUCAUAUAAAGAUUGUCACAUCCCGGUUCUUAAGUCAAUUUGCGGUUAUUUAGUUUUGGGUUACUUUGGCUUUUACCAUUUUGAGUAACCGUUUACUAUUUAAGGCUCCAAAAGUUGACUUUUUCUUUCGUCUAAAAUUUGGAAAAACUUUCUUCAUGAAAGUCGUAGAGGACGUUAAGCGGAGUUCGUAGAUGCGUGGCACGCUUAAAUAGGAGUUCGUAUGAAUAAGUUAUGGUCUAAAAACAAAAGUUACUAUUUUGGUUGGGGGUAUAAAAAUGGAAACUUACCGGAUGGGUUAGGUAAGAAAUCAGUUUCACCCCCUCACUCUCUCUUCUCUCUCCCGCACCUCUCCUCCGACCGGCAACUUCAUCACCUCCAUCCGCCGCCGUCCGGCCGAGCUAGGUGGUGUGCUUGGUAUCGAUUUGAAGCUUGGAGCAUCCUCUAGAAGUCGAGGUAGGUGGCAGCCGGUGUCGCGUCGCCGUGAAGGAGAAAUCCUGCCGGAAAGCCGCGGUUGUGCGUGGUGGGGUUUUCGUCGGAAAAUCCCUUUUCCGGCCACCAUAGCCAGAACUGUUGGUCUCAACUUGAAGCUCCCCCUCCUAGCAGCAAAACCCUAAAAGGAUUCAUCGUAACUCGAGCUAGGUAAGGAGAAUCGAAGGUUUGAAUCGUCUAGGGUUCUUGAUUGUGUUUUUGUUCGAUUGACAUAUUUAAGCUUGAAAUUGGACUUAGUGAUAGUUAUGAAAGUUGUUUGGGAUGUUGAGAGGAAGAUGUUGUUAAAAUUUGGUAGCCAUCGGGGGUCGCCGGAGUUGGCCGCCGGCCGCUGCUGCUGUAAGGGGGCUUUUCAGGGUUUUAAAUGUGUUAUGUUAAGGGGAGUUUAAUGAUGUGAAGUUUGGAAUUUGUGGAGGAGUUUUGAUAAGGUUUGGGAUUUUUAAAAGAUUAAAGAUUUUGCCGGUUAUUAGAAUAAAAAUCCGGCCGUUGGAUUUCCUUGGUAUUUUUUUUAUAGAAUGUUAGAAUUGAUGAAUUAAGGUUGUGGUGGAGUUUGGUGCGAAUCCGGCGAGUUUAACCCUAUUAAGAGUAGUUGGUUAAACGGAAGAGAGUUGGAUGUUUUUAUUCAUGUAUUUAUUUUCUGGAAUUGAAGUCUGGUUCUAAGCAUAAUUGUUGUGCCAGGAUGCGAAGGGAACCUCGCUUGAGUGGCGAUGCGGUUAUCGUCGGGCUUAUGCCUAAAGUUGUGAGUGGACAUUUUGGUUUAAUUAAAUAUGCAUGCAAGAUUUUAUAAAUUAUCAUUUUAUUUUUCCGAGCAUAUAUUAUAAUUUUCGGCUCAUGAGAUGAUUUUGAAAAUUAUUUGAGUGUGAUGCAUUGAUUAACGUUUGGUCAUGAUUUAUGCAUUUAAGCUCGGAUUAUUAAUUUGAUAUUUGAGUUUGGUUAUUUUAUAAGUUUUGGAUUUCAUUGUGAUUGAUUUAAUGGUGACUUUGGGAUUAAUAAAUGAUUACCGAAAAUGGGAUUUUCGGUAGUUCUCCAUCAUAAUUUAAUUGUUUAUUUGAGGCAUAAUGAUUUUGACUUAGAGAAUAUUUUAGCGAGUAUUUUCGAGUGGAGAUAUUGUUAUUUAUGAUUUAAAUUUGAUAUUGAAAUCUCGCUUAUAAUGUUGUUUCGAGAAUAUUUUGACGUGUGAGACACGUCAUUGAGUUUUAGUAUAAUUUCUUAUGAUGAUUUUCAAAUACGGUUAGGAACCAUACCAUUCAUUUGAUAUUGGGGAAGUUUAAUGGAUUUAAGUGACUUCGUAUGAUUUUAAUCACCAUAAUAUAGGGUCACUUUUAUAUUGAUUAUUGCUAGCUAACCUUAUUAGCGGUCCUCUUCAUAUGUGAGUAGAGCGCUCAGCGUGGGACGCUGUUAUAGCCUGGGAGGCAAGCGAUCGGUAUUUAUAUUUAUUAGCUAGCUAGCCUUAUUAACGGUCCUCAUCAUAUGUGAGUUGAGCACUUAGCGUGGGACGCUAUUGUAGCCUUAUUUAGUGGUCCUCAUCAUAUGUGAGUUGAGCGCUUAGCGUGGGACGCUAUUUUAGCGUGGGAGGCAUCGACCCGAGCCUGGGAGGCUCUUUUUUUUUCGUGGUGAUAACUCUUCCCCUUAUUUUAUUCUUCUCAAUAAUAUAAUUGAUUAACCAGCGGGGCUGGUUUAUCUUCACGUAUGAGAUUUAUGUUUUAAUUAACCAGCAGGGCUGGUUUAUCCUUUAUUAAAUGAUUUUGGAUUUAAAGUUUUAAGGAUGUUUAAGUUGCUUGCUGUUAAGUUUUAAAAGUUGAAAAGUGGGAAAGUAUAUAAGUUUUAUAAUUGUUAAGUUAUUGAAUUUAUUUUUCGUCUAUUCACUCUAACGUUUUUAAAUUACUUUCCCCUGGGCCCUUUGGUUUAUAAAUGCCCAGUUUACAGGCUAAGUUAAUUGAGGUCGAGCGUACAUGGAGUCGAGGCAUAGUCAGAGGCUGCUUCUGCUUAAUCUUUAUUUAUUGUUAUUCUUUCAUUACUAGAUAUGCUCUGAUAACCUAUUAGUGAAGAAAUGAUGUCUUUGUUGUUGGUUGUGGAAUUCCCGAAGUUUAGUAUUUAAUAUAUUGGGAGAUGUGUUAGACUUGGGGAGCAGGAAGGCUCCAGGAGUUGAGGAUGGAGGUUUGAUUAUAGAAGUGUUAAGUUUGAUUUUUUUCAGGAAAGGGUUGUCCAUUUUCAAGGAAGAUUAUGCCGAAUUUUCGGUAAAUUUUCCUUGAAGGUGGUCCCCGUAGGAUUUACUUCGGAUUUCAGGGUGAAAUUCGGGGUGGGUCUUGACAAAGAUGGUUCGAGUUCCACUUCUUUUUGAGUUGCGAGCUUCAGGGGUAGAUUUAUCGGUGGAUGAAGUUGGUGCUUUGGUAGCUAGUUUUCAUGUGAGGACAGUUUUGGUCGAUAGAGUGCGGGAGGCACAAUAUAAUGACCCUUCCAUUUUUCGGUUGAUAGAAAGAACUUUGAAUUGAACCACAGUUGAUUUUUUAGUUAGAAGAGGUGAAACUUUAUUGUUCAAGAAUAGGCUUUGUGUUCCGCAGAGAAAUGAAGAGUUAAAGAAGGAGAUAAUGGAGGAAGCUCAUAGUUCGGCAUAUGCUGCCCAUUUGGGUAGUACAAAAAUGUAUCGGACUUUGAAGGAUUAUUAUUGGUGGCUGAAUAUGAAGAGGGAAAUUGCAGCUUUUGUGAGUAGAUGUUUAGUCUAUCAGCAAGUGAAAGCUGAAAGGCAGAAACCUUCAAGGUUGCUUGAGUCGUUGUCUAUUCCAGUGUGGAAGUGGGACCACAACACCAUGGAUUUUGUUUUCAGUUUACCUCGUUCCCAUGAAGGGCAUGACGGUAUUUAGGUGAUUGUGGAUAGACUCACCAAGUCUACACAUUUCUUGCCAGUGGAAAAGAAGUAUAAAUUGGAUAAAUUGGCGGAACUUUAUGUGAAUGAAAUUGUGAGGCUUCAUGAUGUACUUGAGUCAAUAGUGUCAGAUCGAGAUCCUAGAUUUGCUUCUAAUUUCUAGGGAGCUAUUCAAGUAGCUUUGGACACCUAAUUGCACUUCAGCACUGCCUUUCAUCCUCAGACCGAUGGGCAAUCGGAGAGGACUAUUCAGAGUCUAGAGGAUAUGUUGAGAGCUUGUGCCUUGCAGUUCAGAGGGAGUUAGGAUAAAAACCUAUUUGUGAUGGAAUUUGCAUACAAUAAUAGCUAUCAUUCUAGUAUUGGUAUGGCUCCCUUUGAGGCACUUUAUGGGAAGCAGUGUCGUACACCUUUGUGUUGGAAUGAAGUCGGAGAAAAAGAGCUUUGUGGUCUUGAGUUGAUUCAUGAUACGAAUGAGAAGAUUAAAGUGGUCAGAGAUAGACUCAAGGCCGCUCAAAGUAGGCAGAAGAGUUAUGCAGAUGUCCGUAGGAAGGACCUUGAGUUUCAAGUGGGUGACUGGGUGUUCUUGAAAUUAUCUCUUUAGAAAGGAGUAGUACGUUUUGGUAAACGUGGGAAGCUUAGUCCGAGGUAUAUUGGCCCUUAUGAGAUAAUAGAGCGAGUUGGCUCACUUGCUUACUAGUUACUUUUGCCUCCAAAGUUAUCCAGGAUAUAUAAUGUGUUUCAUGUAUCCAUGCUUCGCAAGUAUAUUGCCGAUCCCACUCAUCUGUUGCAAGAGCGGGCGAUUAGUUUGCAUAAAGAUUUGACUUAUGAAGAGGAAUCGGUUCAGAUUCUUGACCGAAAGGAGCAAAUGCUUAGGAACAAGACAAUUCCACUUGUUAAGGUACUAUGGAGAAGGCAUCAAUUAGAAGAAGCUACUUGGAAAUCGGAGGAGCAAAUGAGACAACAGUAUCCCUAUCUCUUUGAUUGACAUGUAUGUAAAUUUCAAGGUCUAAAUUUUUAUAAGGAGGGGAGAAUUGUCACAUCCCGACCCUUAAAUUUUUACCUUAUUUACUAGCUUGGUAUUAACAAGAGUUUUACCGUCUUCGUCGUGAGUUUAUAGUUAAAUGGUCCCUAGAUGAGUUUUGGGGGACGAUUGUUUUCGGUGGAAUUAUUCGUAGGAGAAAAAUGUGACGACUGUAAAAAUGGUAAAUUUUAGCUAGUAAAAGGUAAUUUUUAUUAGGGUCUUUUUAUUGGGGUGUUUUAUGUUAUGGAGUGUGGGUAUUAAGGAGGGGACCGGGCCAUUUUUGGGGUUUAGGGUUUAGGGUUUAGGGUUUAGGGUUUAUUCCAAAUUUCACUCUUAAUUCCAAAUUUCACUCUUAAUUCAACACUUCCAAACAUCACAUAAUAUACAAUAAUCCUAAAGUAUUCAGAGCUACUAAACACAAACGGAAGCAAGAAAACACGAGUAGGUUGAACAGGUAACCUACUGAUAAAAACUGACAGAAAUGCGGGUGACUAUGCCUCGCCUCCUACUAGAUCCAACCCGAACUCUGCAGACUGGGCAAUUUAAAACGAAAGGCCCAGGGGAAAACAUUUAAUAACGUUAGAGUGAGUGGACAAAAAUAAAAUAAAGGAAAUAAUUCUUUAUGCUUUCCCAAUUUUUACUUUUCCAUAGAAAAGAAAAUAUGCUGCAUGCGACAGCUCAAAACGCUCAACACGAAAACUGGAAUUUCAUGACCGGCACCGGCCAGUCUCCAACGCUCAAUAAAAUACAGCCUCUCAGGCUAAAAUAAAAUAUGUAUGUAUUACACUCGUCAUAUCCCUUGUAUGAAUUUUCUUGAAACAACUAAAACAAAUAGCAAAUUCACACAAGGCUACAACGCUUGCGUCUAACGCUCACGUUGCANNNNNNNNNNNNNNNNNNNNNNNNNNNNNNNNNNNNNNNNNNNNNNNNNNNNNNNNNNNNNNNNNNNNNNNNNNNNNNNNNNNNNNNNNNNNNNNNNNNNNNNNNNNNNNNNNNNNNNNNNNNNNNNNNNNNNNNNNNNNNNNNNNNNNNNNNNNNNNNNNNNNNNNNNNNNNNNNNNNNNNNNNNNNNNNNNNNNNNNNNNNNNNNNNNNNNNNNNNNNNNNNNNNNNNNNNNNNNNNNNNNNNNNNNNNNNNNNNNNNNNNNNNNNNNNNNNNNNNNNNNNNNNNNNNNNNNNNNNNNNNNNNNNNNNNNNNNNNNNNNNNNNNNNNNNNNNNNNNNNNNNNNNNNNNNNNNNNNNNNNNNNNNNNNNNNNNNNNNNNNNNNNNNNNNNNNNNNNNCACAAACACCAAUUCCAAGCCUAACUAGGGCAAUCGACUAAAACAUCAAAAACACCAUAAAACUUCCACCUCAAAUUUCUCCUUACCUAGCUCAAGAGGGAGUGAGUCCUUUUAGGGCAAGGUUGCUGGGUUGGAGGGCUACAAAAUCAUACCAAGCUUGCCCAGAUUGGUGGCCGGAGGAGGGAGUUCCGGCGAAAAGCUUUCCGGCGUUUCCGGCGGGUUUUCUCCUCUUCCGGCGGGUUAGAGGCUCGGGGGCUAGGCCGGGGAGGGAGAGGAGGAGAUGGGGGUACGAACUGCGGUGGAAGGGCGGCCGGUGGCUGGCCGGACGGCGGCAGCUGGCGGCUGGACAGUCCGGCAGUGGGAGGAAGAAAAUUCGGAGGGAAGGAGAAAACGGGAGAGAGGGAGAAGAGAAAAAGAGGGAGAUGGGUUUGGGCCUCUCCAAACCGGUCCAAUCCACUUAUAACCCAAUCUUCCAAAAUAAAAACACCCCGAAAAAAUAAUACCCAAAUAAAAAUUACCUUUUACUAGCUAAAAUUUACCAUUUUUACCGUCAUCGUAUUUUCCUUAUACGAAUAAUCCUCCGCACAUAAUCGUCCCCGAAACCCCUCUAGGGACCAAUUAAACUAUUUACUCAAUGAUCGAGACGGUAAAAUUCUUAAUAUAAUCACGCUAGUAAAUAAGGUAAAAAUAUAAGGGUCGGGAUGUGACGCAUUUGAGGUCGCCGGAGCCGGCCUCCGGCCGCCGCUGUUUAGGGGUUUUCAUGGUUUUAAAUUGGUUAUAUUAAGGGGAGUUAUUGAUGUGAAUUUUGGAAUUUUUUAGAGGAGUUUUGGAUAGAUUUGGGAAUUUUUAAAGUUUAGUAAUUUUGGCAGAUUAAUAGGGUGGGAUCCGGUCAUUGGACUAAUGUUGUUUAGGCUGUGUUAAGGCUGCCAUUAUUUUUCGAUAAAGUUUGGAUCAUAUUGAGUUAAGAAUGGCGAAGUUGGGCAAAGAUGAGUGUGGUUAAGGCUCACAUUGAAUUUUGCCUAUUUUGUGUAAAUAUUGGAUUUUUUAUUUGGGAAAUUAAUUAUAUAUUUGGAACAAGACGUGAAAAGGCUCGAGUGGAAGAGGCCUUAGAUCGACAUCAGGCUUAAGCCUAAUUUGUGAGUGGACUUUUGUUUUAAAUAUUAUGCAUGCUAUGGUUCAUGGUUGAUUAAUUUCUUUUGUUGGAGCAUUUGACUUCAUUUUAUUUUGACGAUUUUAUUUCUUUUAAAGAGUUACCGAAAAUAGGAUUUUCGGUGAAUAUUAUUAUAUAUUUAUGAGGAGAGUAUGUAUAUAAAUACUAGCUAGCCAUAUGUGUCUGUCCACCUUAAUGGCGUAGUAUAUAACCGCAUUAUGGUGUAGCGUGAGCGUUAGACGUGAGAGUAGUAGCCUUAUAUGAGUGUCUAAUACAUAUUGGGGGUAUGGGCACAUAUUUAUAUACCCGUUCGUCCACCUUAAUGGCGUAGCGUAGCACCGCAUUAAGGCGUGACGUGAGCGUUAGACGCAAGCAUAGUAGCCUUGUAUGAAUUUCUAUUUUUCUUAUAUUUCCUGCAUAGAAUUCAUACAAGGAGUAUGGACUUGUAUAGAUACAUACAUAUAUAUUGAUGGAUUUAUAUUAUUGAGUAUGAGAGGCUCGAUAUUUAAGAGAUGAAAGUUUUAUCAUUUGAGGCAUGCAUUCAAUUUUCUUUGGAAAUUAAAUUGGGAAAGCAUAAAAUAUUUAUAUUAAAUUUAUUUUUGUCCACUCACUCUAACUGUUUCAAAUGUUUUCCCCUGGGCCCUUCGUUUUAAAAUGCCCAAUCUGUAGAGUACGAGUUGGUUCUAGUAGGAGACGAGGCAUACUCACCCAUUUCUCCACCACCUUUUAUCAGUAGGUUACCUGUUAACCUACUAGCAUAUUUUUCUUGCUUCCUCUAGUUUAGCAGCUCUGAAUACCUUGAGGAUAAUGUAUAUUAGAUCGGUUGUGUGCUAAGUCUUAGAUUUAAAUUUGGAUAUUUAUAUGAUGGAUUAAAAGAUGGUUUUAUUAUAUUGUGGUGGUUGUUUUGUGGGGAGCGAGUGGCUCCAGGAGUUGAGGAUGGUGUUAUGUUGUUAUAGGAGUGCUAUCUUUGAAUUUUUCAGGUUAGGGUUGUCCAUUUUCAAAAGGUUUUGCCAAAUUUUUCGGUAAAUUUUCCUUGGAGGUGGACCCUGCAAGACUUACUUUGGGUUUCAAGGUGAAAUUCGGGGUGGGUCUUGACAUGUGAUAACUGAGGUUUCAACCGAUUUCACCCUGAACUUUAAUACUUGAAGUUUCAACCGAUUUUGGCCGGAAACUGCCCCAAAACUUCCACCACGAAAACAACCUUAAAUCUGCAAAUCCGGGCUCAACAACUCAAAAACAUGCUUCAAUCUAUGCCUAGCCACUACUAGAAGGAGGAGAGGAACCAGACUCACCUAAGUUAGCCCCUCGUCGCCGUCGAAAUCACCGGUUUUCCAGCGAGACAGCAGCUGCUCCACCACUCUGUGGCGGCUUCUAGGCUGCGAGACAGUGAGCGGGACUAUCCCAGAACUGGAGAGGACGUCCGUGUGCACCCAACGGAACCGGUGGCAUCCAAUAUGGUGGCCGGAUGGAGGAGAAAUCAACCAGAGAAGAAUGAGAGCGUGGGAGGGUCGGGAGAGAGGAGAGAGAAACCAAAACUGGGCUGCUGCAAAUAUAGGGUUUCCAAAAAAUAACUCCCACACAUUUUUCUACUUAUACUCUUUCCAAAACCGGAACCUAACUUCCUUUGACCAUAACUUUCUCAUACGACAUCCGAUUUACAUGUGCUGCGUGUCUACGAACUCGUAUUGCCAAACUCUACAACUUUCAUGAAGGAAGUUUUAGCAAAUAACUUACGGAAAAUAAAGUCAACUUUUGGCCACUUAAAACAAACACCUUAAAAUAAACUCCCGAAACUUCAACUUCGUAUAAACCAACAAUAAUUUCCAUAAAUAAUCCUUCACUAAAUCCGGAAAUAAUACAAGAAAAUUGAUAUGAAAAUCUAGGGUAUUACAACGAGUAUCUCUGUGUACAAACCGAGUUCGUUCAAACUUACAUGCAGACUAGUCUUUAGGUUAUAGUACCUAUUCCACGAAUAAGAAGAGAUGAGUUGUUCACUAUUUACGACGACAAUUCACGUUGCUAUUACCGCAACACAUAUGUCUGCAAUUAUCACCUUCACCUUAACAAUACCAGUUUAUCGAACGGAGGAAAAUCAAAAUAGUGAGUCUCACGCGAGUCAACGAAAUCCAAGGAUCACCAUUGGAAAUUCACUAUUUGAUGACUUGCUUCUCACGAAUUAUCAUGUAUUAUAGCGACUACGUAUCAACUCAAGUCGAUGAUUAAGAAUUUUUUAAGUAACAGCCCCACCGUUACGCAAUACGUUAAGAAAAAUGGUCGUUGGGAUAUACUUCUUCCGCAUAAUUAUGCGUUGCUAAAGAUGUCAAAGAUCACGAAAACCUACUCGCAUUUCCUGAGUAGAGAUUUGCCCAUGAAUUUCUCGUUAUUGUUAACGAAUGUCGAAGUCCCAUUAAUAAAUCGUACCGACUAAUAGCUGCCAAAGCAUGGAAAUUCCCCCAUCAACUCUAAAGUCGAACCGUCUAAGUUACCAAUCGAAUAACCGUACUACAACCAAAAUACAAACUCUGAGUUGACCGAAUUGAGUGUCAACACAACUGAUGUCACAUCCCGACCCUUAUAUUUUUACCUUAUUUACUAGCGUGAUUAUAAUAAGUAUUUUACCGUCUCGAUCAUUGAGUAAAUAGUUUAAUUGGUCCCUAGAGGGGUUUCGGGGACGAUUAUGUGUGGAGGAUUAUUCGUAUGAGGAAAAUACGACGACGGUAAAAAUGGUAAAUUUUAGCUAGUAAAAGGUAAUUUUAAUUCGGGUAUUAUUUUUCGGGGUGUUUUAUUUUGGAGUGGGUUGAUAUAUGAAUUGGACCGGUUGGGAGGCCCAACCCAUUUUCUCUCUUUCUCUUCUUCUCUCUUUUCCCUUCCUCCUCUCUCCCGUGCUCUUCCCCCUGCCGGAUCGUCCAGCCGCCGUCUGCCGCCGUCCGACCAGCCACCGGCCGCCGCUCCACCCCAGUUCGGACCCCCAUCUCCUCCUCUCCCUCCCCGGCCUAGCCCCCGAGCUUCUAACCCGCCGGAAGAGGAGAAAACCCGCCGGAAACGCCGGGAAGCAUUUUGCCGGAACUCUCUCCUCCGGCCACCAAUCCGGGCAAGCUUGGUACGGUUUUGUAGCCCUCCAACCCAGCAGCCUUGCCCUAAAAGGACUCACUCCCUCUUGAGCUAGGUAAGGAGAAAUUUGAGGUGGAAGUUUUAUGGUGUUUUUGAUGUUUUUAGUCGAUUGCCCUAGUUAGGCUUGGAAUUGGUGUUUGUGCUAGCUAUGAAAGUUGUAGAGCAUGAUGAGAGGAAGAUGCUGUUAAAAUUUCAUAGGUUUUGGAGGUCGCCGGAAUUGGCCUCCGGCCGCCGCUGCCGGCGGAGCCGCCGCCGGUUGGGAGAUUUUAAUGUUGUUAAAUUUGGAAUAUUAAGGGGAGUUUAUUGAAGUGAGUUAUGGAAUUUUUGGAUGAGUUUUGGAUAGGUUUAAGAAUUUCCGAAGUUUGGUUUUUUUGGCGGUUAAUUAAUGUAGAAUCCGGCCGUAGGAUUUAAGUCGUAUUUUGGAGAGGUUAUAUUUACGACUGCCGAGGAUGAUAUUUAAGUUCGGAUCGUUCCGAUUUAAGAAUAUCGAAGUUAGGCAAUAAUGAGCGUGUUUAUGGCUCUCGGGAAAUUUUGCCUAUUUUGAUUAAUUAUUGGAUUAUUAGUUGGGUAAAGUUAAAUAUUAUUUCUUGGAACAGGUCGUGNGGAGGCUCGAGCUGACGAGGCCCCACGAUCGACAUCAGGCUUAGGCCUAAUUAAGUGAGUGGACUUUUGUUUUAAAUUAAUGUGCGUGCGAAUAAUUUAAUAGUUGUUAGAGAAUAACCGAAAUUUUAGUGAAUUUCGGUUGAGUGUAUAUAUAUAUAUCCAUAUGUGGAUGAUUAUGAGAAUAAUAUGUAUAUGAGAGAAUGCUAGCUAGCUAUACGUGCUUUUCCACCAUACUGAAGUAAAAUUCUAUUAUGGUGCAACGUGAGCGUUAGACACAAUCGUUGUAGCCCUAUAUAAAAAUAAUAAUUUAUAUAGGGGAUAUGCGCGUAUAUUUAUACACCGUCUUUUCCACCAUAAUGAGGUAAAAUGCCAUUAUGGUGCAACGUGAGCGUUAGACGCAAGCGUUGUAGUCUUGUGUGAAUUUUCUAUUUGUUUCAGUUGUUUCAAGAAAAUUCAUACAAGGGAUAUGACGAGUGUAAUACAUACAUAUUUUAUUUUAGCCUGAGAGGCUGUAUUUUAUUGAGCGUUGGAGACUGGCCGGAGCCAGUCAUGAAAUUCCAGUUUUCGUGUUGAGCGUUUUGAGCUGUCGCAUGCAGCAUAUUUUCUUUUCUAUGGAAAAGUAAAAAUUGGGAAAGCAUAAAGAAUUAUUUCCUUUAUUUUAUUUUUGUCCACUCACUCUAACGUUAUUAAAUGGUUUCCCCUGGGCCUUUCGUUUUAAAUUGCCCAGUCUGCAGAGUUCGGGUUGGAUCUAGUAGGAGGCGAGGCAUAGUCACCCGCAUUUCUGCCAGUUUUCAUCAGUAGCUUACCUGUUCAACCUACUCGUGUUUUCUUGCUUCCGCUUGUGUUUAGUAGCUCUGAAUACUUUGGGAUUAUUGUAUAUUAUGUGUAGAAUUUCUGAAGGAUAAUUAUGUGAUGUUUGGAAGUGUUGAAUUAAGAGUAGAAUUUGGAAUUUUCGAGUUAGGGUUGUCCAUCUGCAAGGGAGAUUUUCUCAAUCUUUUCAGUAAAUUUUCCUUGGAGGUGGUCCCCGCACGACUUACUCCGGGUUUCAGGGUGAAAUUCGGGGUGGGUCGUGUCAACUGAUGUGUAGUCUAUCAAACAACACUAGGUAGUCCUCUCUUGCUACCCCCAUAUGAUGUAAAGUGAUUUUCUUUCUUCCAUUUUAUUUCUAGAUCAAACUAGCUGGAUCACGUAGGUCCAUAAUGUCCAAGGAAGAUGAAAGCACAAAACUGGAGUCAAAUGCUCAAGUCGCCAAAACUGCUAGAUGCCAAAGAUAAAUACUCCUCGUAGAAUGACGAAUUGUAUGAAUGCGUACAAAAAUCUAGAACUCCUUUCUCAAUAAGAUAUGAUGAUCAGCAAUCCUGAGUCGAAUCGCACCCUGUAAGGCCCGACUCUUCAACUCAUGUCUAAAAUUUACUUAUAUCAAGAACAGUCGGUCUUAGAACACCCCAGGACAUCGACAAUACUCAUCGAUUGCCACGCUGCUCCAGUAGUUACCUCAAAGAAUUUGGGGUCUAAAAACGAGCUCUAUAAACAAAUCACACACUCUACACAUAAGUGAGAUGCCCGGAUCUCUUCAAAACCUGAGCUAAACGCUAAAUUGAUGGCCACAUGAUCCAUCUCAAAAAUUGUGCGUCAACCGCAUUAUCGCCUGCGUAAUGCUCAAGUGGAAGCAUGGGAUUGCUCGAAUCUAAUAGAGCCUCGACAAUAACUUCCAAUCCCAACCAGUCAAUUUCACCACUGCAAUACUCUAAUCAGCAGCUACAUUUGUGGGAAAGACUACCUCAAAAUCCACAUCUCACUCAUCCUCUUAGGAAUUAUUCGUAUCAGCUAAUAACAAUUAUAGCUAAAGCGAAAAAACAAUUAUUUCAAGAUCAAUAACCCCAAUUAGGCCGCUUAAACUAUCCUUGUGUAUCAUCAUACACAUUACCAAUCCAAAUUUAUCCGACACUCUUCUCCUAACAAUCACUCGACUCGAUACCACGAUUUUCUAACCAACCACCACUUCGAAUUUACAACUUCAACCUUUCUUGCACCAAUGACUAAAGAUAUCAAAGAUUGAGAUUAUCUUUAGAUGAUAGGGGUUCGUUAGUAAUCUUCUACCAUAGUAAAUUCUCAGGCAACAGUUAGAAUACCCAAUGACAUCAUGUAUUAAAUUCUACAUCUGUUGCCGUAAAAUCAAAGCAGCCACAACCAUCAGGCAUCCGACUUACCAUUGCAUUUCAAAGCCUCUUACACUUACAGUCCAUCUAAAAACACUCAACAUAGGUAAGAAGGCCAAUCCCACAUUACAGAUACCAACCCUAAAUAUACCAAUAACAAUUUCAGAAACCAAAUCUCAAUGGAUAAACUUCGAAAGAAAUGCAUAAUAGCCCCACAUAACACAUCAAUUAAUCUCCACAAUUUAUUCGCUCAAGCAAUGGCUUUCCACAUUUUAUCUCAAAGCAAGACAACUUAAUUCCCUAUGAUAUCUCUUAUCCUAAUACCAAUCUUAUCUAGAAAUUUCUCGAUCAUUCUCCAUCAUUAAUACACACAUAAGAGCUCAACUUACAUCUUAAUCAUAGUCCAACAACUCAUUACGUAAAAGUAAAGGAACAUCAUAAAUACAUGCCACUUCCCAACUCAUAAUUGAUCUCAGAAUCUCGCAACCAUAAUAAAGCAUAAAGGAAAGGUGCACAUCACUUACCUUUCCAUUACUCAGAAAAUAACCAAGAUACCCUUUGAGGUCGGCGUACAGAGGCAUAGUCUUGAAGAUGUAGACAUUUAUGGCACAAUACUGUCCAUAAAUAAGAUAAGAACAACUACCUCAUAUACCUAAUAAACACCUAGCAUCUUAUGCAUAUAAUGCUAAUGGAUCCGCCGCGGUCGGACCAUCACUCUAUAGACACUAAGUAUCCCCAAGUAUAUGAGGUAGUGAUAGGAAUCGAAUAACCUAAUGUUCUGAUACCAACUGACAGGACCCACCCCGAAUUUCACCCUGAAACCCGAGGUAAAUCCUGCGGGGUCCACUUCCAAGGAAAAUUUACCGAAAAUUCGGCAUAAUCUACCUUGAAAGUGAACAACCCUUACCUGAAAAAUCCAACUUACACUUCAAAAAACAAACAAACCAGCCUCAACACCUGGAGCCUUCCUGCUCCUCAAGUUCAACAUAUCUCCCAAAAAUACAACAAGCCUUAAUCAACUAAUAACUAUCUCAAAUGCUUAUCAGAGCAUAUCUAUAAUGAAAGAAAAACAAUGAAUAAAGAAUAAGCAGAAGCAGCCUCUGACUAUGCCUCGACUCCAUGUACACUCGACCUCACUUAGACUUAGGCUGCAAACUGGGCAUUUAAAACCAAAGGGCCCAGGGGAAAGUAAGGUAAAACGUUAGAGUGAGUGGACGAGAAAUAAUCAAGUAACUGAUCGCAACAUAACUAACCAAACUUAAUUACUUUCCCAUUUCCGAUAAUAAAGAAAUCUAUUGCAUGCAAGUGUUGAUAAAACUUUCAUAAAGAAAAAAUACCCAGAAAACGGACUAGCCCCGCUAGUCAAAUUAACGACAAAAAUAAAUAAUAACCUUACGUAAAAGAAAGUACCAAAAUAACGGACUAGCCCCGCUAGUCAAAAACAACAUUAUUGGUACAUAAAGACCUUUGUAAAAUAAAAUAUCGAAAAGAUGGACUAGCCCCGCUAGUCAAGACAAAAAAUAUUAAAUAAGAAGCAGCUAUAGCCAUACAAGUGAGCCUCCCAGGCUCGGGUGCCUCCUAGGCAAAAGUACUCCCAUACUCCCUACACUUUCACAUUAAAUAACGGAGAGAGUGCAGGGCUUGCGUGAUGUCGUCGACUACAUCACAUCACCCGAAGGCGAAAAGGGCUUGAGUAACCCCACUUAAAACGUGGAAGUCACAUCGCCUCGAAAGGCUGAACAACAUGCUAGCAUUAGUAAUAUAUUAUCCGACAAGUAUGGCAUAAAUAAAGAAACAUAAAUCCAUGUGAGUUUCCCCGAAACUCAUAACUAAAGGAUAAGUACAAUUCCCAACCGUACUCAAAGAAUUCAAAGAGCAAAGAAAUUCAUUAAAUUCAACAACAUAUCUCACACGUUAAAAUGCUCAAAGAAAUACUUGACUUAAAUAAUUAUCAUCUUUCGAAAACCGGGCAAUAUGCAAAUUUGGAUAUAAUCUCAAAUCCAGAAACCAUAAAGAAUAUUAAAAGUCAAAUACCAAAUCUCUAAGCUAAGCUCAAAUCUAUAAGUUCAUUAUCGAAAACAUAACCAAUAUGUCAAUCUCAAAUAAAUUCCAUAACCAAUAUGCCAAUCUCAAAUAAAUUCCAUAAAUCAUGGCAAAGGUUAAUCAAUGCAUCAAAAUCAAAUAAAUUCAAUGACCAUUUCAUAAGCUGCAAUUACAAUUUAAGCUUGGAAAAUAUAAUAGGCAACUUAUAAAAUCAUGCAUGCAUAUUAAUUAAACCAAAAUGUCCACUAACAGAUUUAGGCCUAAGCCUAACGAAUUCCGAAUCGCCACUCAAGUGAGGUCUCUUCGAAUCCUGGCACAACAACCAUGUUAAGGAUCAAACUUCAAUUCCGGAAAAUAAAUACUUAAAUUUAAACACCCAAAACUCUUCCGCUUAACCCACUACCCUUACUAGGGUUAAGUUUACCGGAUUCACAUCAAACUCCACCACAACCUUAAUUCAUCAAUUCUAACAUUCUAGAAUAUAUACCAAGGAAAUCCAACGGCCGGAUUUUCAUUCUAACAACCGCCAAAAUUCUCCAUCUUGAAAAAAUCUCAAACCUAACCAAAACUCCUCCAACAAUUCCAAACUUCACAUCAUUAAACUCCUCUCAUUAAAACAAUCUCAAAAACAUGAAAAACUGUCCUUAAGGGGCGGCGGCCGGCAGCCAUACUCCGGCGACCUCCAAUGUUUCCCAAAUUUUAACACAACACUCCUCUCAACCUGCACAACAACUUCCUUAACUAGCACAAAAUCCAUUUCUAAACCUAACUAGGUUAAUCGAACCAAAACCUUAAAUUGAGCCCUAGGACUUCAAUUAUACAUUUCUCCCUAUUAAGAUCGAAUUUAGCCAAUUCCUUUUGAGGGAUUACUAACCUUUGAUGAGAGCUACAAGAUGAGCCAAAAAUCACGAGUUAUGGUGGCCGGAGGAGGGAGCUCCAGCAAGAAGACAGUCGGCGUCUCCGGCGGGAUUUCCCUCAAUCGGCGGCGUCACAGACUUGGUCACCGGCCUAGGAAGAGAGAGGAGGUGGCGGGGGUCCGAACUGGGCUAGAGCGGCGAUCGGUUGCUAGCCGGACGUCAGCAGAUGGGAGAGAGAAGAGAAAAGGUUGGGCUUUUUUUUUCCAACCAGUCCACUCACUUAAACCCCAAAAAUAAAGCCUACCAAGAAUUUACCCCCUUUUACCAACUCAAAUAAUUUACCCUUUAAUUUGAUAACUUUUUUAUGCUAACUCCGAUUUUAACGUAUAGCAUGUCUACGAACUCAUAUUAACGUCCUCUACAACUUCCUUAAAGAAAUUUUCACAAAAUAGCUUUCCUACAAAAAGUCAACUGUAGAGUCCUUAACGGUAAACGGUUACUCAAAGCGGUAAAAGUCAAAGUGAUACCAAAAGUAAAUAACCGUAAUUUAAUUUAAGAAUCGAGACGUGACAUAGAGGUCUUCCUAAAAGCUAUCAGGGUAAAAUCAUUAGCAUAGAGGAUGCCUAUGAUUUGGAUACCAUGGCACUAGAUGAUCUAUUAGGCAAUCUAAACGCUUUUGAACAAAGAUGGAUUACACCUGAAAGAAAACACAAAGGGGUUGCUUUUAAAGUAACCAAGAAAGAAAAAUCUGAUGAAGAUUCUGAAGAUUUAGAUUUGGCUCUAAUCACUAAGCAGUUCAAGCAAUUCAUGAAAAAUAAGAAUUCAGCUGGUAGAGCUACCAAAAACUCUUUUGACUCAAAACGAAACUUUAGGUCUAAAGGCAGUUCUAAUAAUAAGAACAAAUUCAAACAAGGGAAUAAAAACAUGACAGGACCUACUUGUUAUGAAUGUGGUGGUGUUGGCCAUUUGGCACAUGAAUGUGGUAACAGGAAACAUGAGACAUCAAACAACAAAUCAAUGUUGUUCACCUAGAGCGAUGAGGAAGAUUAAAAUACAGCAUUUGUAUGCUCUAUCAGAAACCUGUCAGACUCAGAAAGUGAUGAAGAAAAUUUUGUGGAUGAAAUAAAUUUUUAAUGUGCUCAAAUGUACAAAGCCUCAAAAGUGAUGGUAAAGAGAAAUGAAUUCCUUGAAGAAGAGCUGAACAGGUUGAAAACCAAAAAGGGAAGACUUGAAGAAAAACACAACAUGACUCAGAAUAAUUGGGAAGAAGAGAAGAAAAAACUAGUUAAAGACCUAGAAGAAUUUCAACAACAUGGAGAUGAGGAAUCUUGGAUAAAUGACAAGAUCUCUCUCACAGCUAAGGUAUCUGAUCUUCAAACCACUAAUUUAUGUCUAACUAAUGAAAUUGAAGUUUUGCAGGGUGAACUAAAAAGGGCAAUAGAAAAGUUUGAUCAGUUCAAGUUAAGCUCGGAAAAGACUUCUAACAUACUCUCAUAUGGCAAGAAGUUCAAUGACCGAUCAGGAUUGGGAUAUGCUGGUAAGAAAACCACAAUCACGAAGUUUUGUGAAGAGCAGUCAGUCUGAAGAUGACAUAGUCGUGACUGAGGAAGUCAAUGCUUCUCAGAAGGAAAUAAAGGUAACAACAAAUACACCUCAGGUAAAAUCUGUAGAUUGUCCAAAUGUCAAGAAAUUUGUGCCUUGUUGUCAUUAUUAUGGUCAGUUUGGACAUAUCAGACCAAACUGCAGAAAUAGAAUUUUUGAAAUUCAAACUGAAAACUUGAAAUGCACUCUAGAAUCUCUACAAAGGGAUAUGAAGGUUCAAAUGCAAUUAAUACAUGACAUCUCAAAACUCUUAGAUGAUAAAAGAAAUAUGUCUGGAAAUAAAAAAUCAAUUUGGAGAAAGAAACACUAUGUUGAACAAAAUGAUCAGUCAGCAACUUGUCUAGUAACUUUUACUGCACUUGCUCAAAAAUGUCGAGAUACUUGGUAUUAUGACAGUGGUUGUUCUAGACAUAUGACAGGAAACAAAAAUUGGUUCAUUUCUUUCAAUGAUGAGGUCACAACUGGAAAGGUAAGUUUUGGUAAUGGUAAGAAAGCAAAAAUCUUAGCAAGAGGAAGUGUAUGUGCACCAGGUAUACCUGAACUGAAAAAUGUUCUUUAUGUUGAUGACUUGACUACAAACCUCAUUAGUGUAAGUCAAUUAACAGAUGAUUAUGAAGAUGUCUAGUUUACUAAACACUGUUGUUUAGUGUUUGAUAAUGUAGGAUCAAAAGUAAUGCAAGGAAAAAGGGCAGUAGACAACUGCUAUCACACCUCUGACAUUGCAUCAAACAGUUCAUGUCUUUCAGUAAAAUCAUCAAACAGUUUAACUUCCAGGAUCUUCAACGAAUUUCAAAUAUCAAGUGUAUUAAAGGACUUCCAAAUUUGACUGGAAAAACGGACAAGAUGUGUGGUGAAUGCAAAAUUGGAAAACAAACCAAAGUUCCACACAAAGCUAUAAAUGCAACCUCAACUAAGCAGGUGCAUCAACAAUUGGAAUUGAAUAGGAAUGCCAUAGGGGGAGAUUGUAAGUAUAUGGCAGUCUAUUCAAUUCAAAGAAGGAAAGGAUGUCUGCAAAAAAACCAGGAAGUAGAGGUUUCCUGGUCCAGCAAGGAGAAGCAAGGGUUUCGAAGAGAAGUCUACUGAUUUAGCUCGACUUCACUGAUUUCAGAUCAUCUAAGGUAAUUACAUCUCAUGCAUAUUCAUAUCAUGAUUCUGGUAUUGUGCUUAAAGAAAAGAUUCAGUCCUUAUAUGGUUUUAGAUUGAUUAAAAUAUAUGUGAGAUAGUUUUAGGAAAUUGAUACGGGUGUAUCCAAGCCUUUUAGGGAUUAGCCGAUUCCUUCUCCAAGUUAGUUAAGGAAAUAGUUUUUCUAGCUUGUUAGGGGAAUAGUUUUCCAACUUAGUUUGGGAUUAGUUGUCUAACUUAGUUAGGGAGUACUCUCCAAGUUAGAUAAGGAUUUAUAGAGAUUUAGACUCUAUAAAUAGAUGUGUCUAGCUUAGUUUUAGGGAGAGUGAAACAGAGAUAACAUCUAUUUAGACGAGAGUGAAACAGAGAGAUAGACCUGUUUAGAGUUAUUGUGAGGGAAGGAUUUAGACAAUAAACAUUGUACCUUUGCACAAUAAAAAGAGAAGAUAUAUUUCUUCGAACCUACAUUCCUUAUGUGUUUCAGUACUAUUAAUAAUUCUGCUAUUAGUAGUAUCCGCCUAGUAAUUUGUACCAAGUUGGUAUCAAGAGCGCAUCGAUUCUGCGAGGGGGUUCUUGUGGUUUAUGGUCCUUACUCGAUCACAAUACAAAAAGCUAGGCAAGGUUCUUGUUUCUUGGGAAGAAACUAGGAGGACAAGAGAAAAGAGGAUGGGUGACGAAAGAACAGACAAAGAGAGACUUGAUGCGGUAGAGAAGCAGUUGGCGUCAAUAACUUCUACUCUUGCAGAACUGGCCAAUUUCAUCAAACAGGAGAAGAAAGUCGAACCUUUGGAGAAGCCGAAGAACAAGACUUCUGAUUCAGAUGACGAAAGGGAUGAAGCAGAUUCGGAUGAGGAAACAGAUGACACCAGCAAAACUUCGCAUCAAGGAGGCAAGGGUUCUUUUCGGAAUCUGAAGAUCGAUUUCAAAGUUGAAAUCCCUAUGUAUGACGGGAGCGUCAACUUAGAGAAACUAGAUGAUUAGAUUGAGUGUCUAGAGACUUAUUUUACUCUUUAUAACUACUCGUCAGAGGAGAAGAUUAUCUUUGCAACUCUAAAACUAUCGGCUCAUGCAUUGACUUGGUGGAAGUCCUUUCAGAAAAAUAGUGACGGAGAGGCAAUGUCGUGGAAGAAGUUCAAGGAGUUGCUUAGGAAGCAGUUCUAUCCAAUUGGUUUUCUGGAAGAAAGAUGGUGCAAGUGGUACAACUUGCGUCAAGAAUUCAAUCAAUCUGUACAAGAAUACACCACCGAAUUCUAAAAUCAAGCUAUGGUUUUGGAUAUUUCAUUGAAGGAGUAUUCUGUUUUCAUGAAAUAUGUGGCGGGUCUGAGUGAGUCCAGUAGGAGUUGAAAUUAUUCACGGUGGAAACUAUUGCAGAAGCCAGCGUGAAAGCCAUUGCCAUUGAGGGCAAAUUUAAGAAGAAUGUAACAUAAAGAGAUGGAAAGCAAUCUGUGGGUAAGUCCAAUGGUUCCUCUGUCAAAAAGAAGGAGCAUGAGGGUGGUGAGUCUGAUGGGAAAGAAUGUUUGGUUUGCAGUCACUGUGAAGGAACAGGCCAUGUGGUGGAUAAGUGUUGGGUGAAGUAUCCUCACCUUAAACCAACAAGGUUAAGGCAGAAGGAGGAGAAAAAGAAAGUCGCUUUGACCACACAAGAGCCAAAGGAAGUGCCAGGGAUGACAAAACCAAAUGCAAAGCUCAAUCAUAUGGUAGGAAAUAAGCAGCCUGUAACAAAUGAAGCAGACCCCAGGGAGCAGCUCUUUGUUGUUAAGUUACAGGUGAAGACCAGUUUGGUUGAUGCCAUUGUGGAUCCGGGUAGUAAGAUGAAUCUUAUCUCGGAAGCCUUGGUUCAGAAGCUAGGUCUCAAGACAGUCAGACAUUCGAAGCCAUAUCCGUUAGGAUGGAUCCAAAAGGAAGCAGGCGGGAUGAGUAUUACCAGCCAAUGCACAUUUAAGUUUGCUCUUCAUGAGUCUUACAUCGAUGAAGUGACAUGUGAUGUGGUGCCAUUGGAUGUUUGUCAGGUUAUACUAGGUAAUCCCUACUUGUGGGAUAGAUAUGCUAUCUAUGACAGGAGAGCCCAGAGAUAUACGUUCACAAAGAAUGAACAACAGUUUGUUAUUCGAGCGAUUUCCCUGCCACAAGAGGCGAGCUUGGUAGCAGUGACGCAAGCUAAAAGAUUAAUCAAUGCUUGUAGGAAAUUUGUCUUGUUGACACGUCCACAUGAAGGGCACUCAAGUCAAGAUAUUGAGAAGUCAAAAUUGAAGAAGUCAAAAUUGAAGAAGUCACAAGCAAAGUACAAGGCCAGACAUGAUAAUCGAGUACCUUGUUACUUUGGUAUUAGCGACUUAGUAUGGUUAAGGUUGAGUAAAAAGCGCCUUAAAGAGGAUCCAUUGUUAGAAGAUUGCAUUUUGGAGCAGCAAGUGGCUAUGACACGUCGAGGGGAGCAAACAGUGUUCUACAUUGGGCGUGCAGGUCAAGUUCCAAGCAAAGCUAAGUGGAUCAGCAAAGACAAGGGAACUCUCGAGUUUCUUAAUCUCCAGUUUUAACUUAAACAGGAGUUUAAGUUCCUAAAAGGGGGAGCCAUGAUACGGGUGUAUCCUAGCCUUUUAGGGAUUAGCCGAUUCCUUCUCCAAGUUAGUUAAGGAAAUAGUUUUUCUAGCUUGUUAGGGGAAUAGUUUUCCAACUUAGUUUGGGAUUAGUUGUCUAACUUAGUUAGGGAGUACUCUCCAAGUUAGAUAAAGAUUUAUAGAGAUUUAGACUCUAUAAAUAGAGGUGUCUAGCUUAGUUUUAGGGAGAGUGAAACAGAGAUAACAUCUAUUUAGACGAGAGCGAAACAGAGAGAUAGACCUGUUUAGAGUUAUUGUGAGGGAAAGAUUCAAACAAUAAACAUUGUACCUUUGCACAAUAAAAAGAGCAAAUAUAUUUCUUCAAACCUACAUUCCUUGUGUGUUUCAGUACUAUUAAUAAUUCCGCCAUUAGUAGUAUCCGCCUAGUGAUUUGUAUCAGAAAUCUUGUGCAAAUCUUUUUUGAAAAGGAUUGGUUUAGAUCUCAUUUAUGGUUAACAGAUUUGUUUUUCAAAGUUGUUUCGCUCUCAGUUUCAAUCAGUGAUUAAUGGGAUCCGAUUGAGGGGGAGUUAUGACACUAUAUAUAUGCCUCUAAGUAAUUUGUUGAACACUGAGUUUUAUAUUUGAUAAGUGCAUUGUGUUAUUGUCUAUUUGUGCUAAAACCUGUUGUUAAAAACUCAUUCAUUCAUAUUCACUGCAUCAUCUAUCAUUUGUAUGAUCUGAGAUCAGUGUUGUUGGAAGUGGAAUUGAAGGAAGCUACAAAGGUUCUUCAAUCAGAAUUCAUUGUUGUUUUUAGAAGAGUUCAUCAGCUGUAAAAUCAAGUUUGCUAUUGUAACUUGUGAAAGUGAUGAUAUUGUAUAUCACUACUUGAUUCGAUUGUAACCUCUUCAAAGUAUUAGUGGAUUGUUUGAGUGUGGACUACUAUAAAGUCUCGCAGUGACGUUUUCUCGAGAGAGGUUUACACUGUCGAUAACAAAUCUCUGUGUUCUUUGUUUUAAAUAUCUUUUUGUUGUAUAGAAAGUUAUUUUCACAAAACAAGACCAAGUACAAGAUUUCAUUCUUAUACUUUCACUCGGGACCCAGUGCUUUGGAGAUCGGGCAGACUGCGGAGGUGGAGGAAGGCGAGUUAAUUCCAACAAAGGAUGUGUGAGGAUGUUAACUCGGCAUUAGCAAUUUUGAAGCAUUGGUUGAUUUAGAUGUGGAGGGGUACACCAUGAGGGUCACUAGGCCCCAAGCUUUUAAGUUAACUGUUUUGAAGUUUGUUAGUGUCGUUAGCUGUUGAGUUGUUUUGUUUAUGUUGACUCAGUUUGCUUCUGUUGAGUCGGUUAGUAUUUUUUUUAACAUGGAUUUCUUGUUUUCAAGUUGUUUCCCUUUCUAGAUAGUAUCGAGUCAUUUGCAUAGUGGAUAGCUAUGAAGGUCUAUGGCCUUCAAGCUUGGUUUUGUAAGAUCGUGAUGAUUGUUAGAGCAGAUGCACCGCAAUGGUCAAUGACAAAGGCGAAAGGAAUGGUUUUGCCUCUAAAUUUGCCUUUGCCUUUUGAUUUUUCUGCAUCCUAAAAGGCAAGAUUUUUAGUCUCAACCACCUUCCGUGCUACACAAUUUUCUUCUCAUGUUUGCCCUUGUGAUGCUUGUAAUACCUCGAAAAUUCGAUAUUAGUUUCUAAUAUUAUUUAGGAAUUUUCGAGCUAGAAGUUAAUGUGUUUUUUUGAGGUUCGAAGGAAGGGUGGAAGUAUUCAGACGCAUAAAUUACCCGAAACGGUUCUUUAUUCUUUAAGGGUCAUAGGGCUGGGCAUAAAGCCCGCAGGAAGGAAAAAAAACCGACAAACUGACCCGGACCGAUUGGGCUUGACCGGGCUUUUUACCGGGUUUGUUUUAGGAAAUGUGCAUUUCGGGCCGGUCCCAUACUAUGCCGGGCUGGGCCGGGUCCCUUAUGUUAAAAACUUUUCUCGGCCCGAAAGCCCGAUAUCAUUGAUAUAUAAGUAUAUAACUCAUAGGAAGAGGUUGCCUCUAACUCCAACUCCCUCACUUCUAAACCUAAACCCAAUAGAGACACAACACCUCACCAUCUCACAAUUGCAACCAAAUCUUAACCGUAUGAUCAACAAGUUGAAGAGUAAGAGUACCUAUGUACAACACAAUGUAGACAAACCUCCCUAGCUUGUUUCUAUUAUUGUCCUCUGACUUGUUCCUCGUUAAUUCAAUGUUCUUCUUUUCCAGAAAACUAUCUGUGGCACUGCAUCACCAUACCCUUUCUCCCUGUACUUCCUCUGAAUCACCUCAUAAUCAGUCUCCCAUCCCCUUGGAACUUGAUUCCUUCCAUAUCCUCCAUAGCCUCCAUAGCCUCCAUAGCCAAAAGCCUGAUUGAAUCUUGUUAUUCCCAACCCCAACCCAAUUUUGUUCUUCCCAAUCUCCAACGAAAUCCUCUCAAAUAUCGAAUCCCUCUUAGAAAUGGAACCCAAAGAAUUUGGCGACGGCAAAUUGGUAUAUGAGAUCGUCGUUCACGUCAACUCAAAGCCUGAACAAGUCUCAAUACAAGCUUACCAGCUUUGAAAGAAUCAAAGCAAACCUCAAACGACGUCAUCUUCUGCUCAUCAUCUUCUAUUUGGAAACCAAGCCCUGUUUGUCGAUCUUCUAGGUGAUCUCAUCAUACACUCUUUGAAUCAAUCUAUCUGUAAAUUUUGAGAAAAAGAUGCAGUCUUUAUUUCAAUAGCUACUAAGUCUUGGUUUUGGGAUGUUUCUGAUGUGUUGAUAUGUUUGAUUAGAGCCUGAUGUGGCAAAAUGGGAAAAAAAGCCUGAAAAACCGGCAAGACCGGCCGGGUUUAUGCCAGUCCGGGCUUUUGCCGGUCUUAGAAAUUUUGAUGGCAGAGACCGGCCCGUCUAGUCAGUAGCCGGUCUGGGCCCGGACUUGAAGAAAAGUGUGUCGGUCUGGGACCGUGCCUAGCCCUAAAGGGUCAUAGAGUUGACUUUUUAUUCGUUUGAUUUCUUGAGAAACUUCUUUCACGAAAGUUGUAGAGCACGACGAUACGAGUCCGUGGACAUGUGGCAUGCGUAAAACGGAUGUCGUACGAAAAAGUUAUGGUCAGCGGAAGUUUCUACAUUUUUUCAAAGUUGUCUAUAAAUAGAAAAAAAAAAAAAAAAAAGUUUACCAAUUUUAAAAUCGCGCAUCUCUCUUCUCCUCUCAACCUUCUUUAGUUUUUCAACCAUAUCUUGGUCAUCCGAGCUCGGAUUUAGGCAAAUGAGGUACCGUUGGAAAGCUCUCUUGAUUCUCUACAAGUUUGUGGUGAUUUGGUAGUAAGAUUCGAGCAGCUGGAGGUGCAGCAAGGCAGGGAAGCAGCUAUGCCGCCGUUUUGGGUUCUUCGUCGGAACUUCUAAUUCCGAUCACCUUCGGUGACAACUCUUGAAGGCUUUUGAAGCUUGUGAGAAGUGGAUCAAUCCCUCCAAGCCUCUUGAACCGACUUGAAGAUUGGAGGGUGAAUUGAGGAUUUGAAAUCCUAGGGUUUCAAUCACUCAUUUUACUUGAGAGGUAAAUUCCACCUUCUAUAGUUAAAAUUGGACUUUGUGAUAGUUGAGACUAUUGUAGAGCUUGUUGAGAUGAAGAGUUUGGUGUAUGAACCAUGACCCGGUUCGUGGGUCUCCGGUGGCGCGUGGGGCCCACUCGUCGUCGCCUGUGGCCACGCGUGGCAACGUGUCUGAUAGGGUGUGUAGUUUUGGUUGUUGUGGUUAGCUAGCUCAUGUUGUUGUAAGCUUGUUGAGAUGUGGAAUUUCUAGGUUUUGAGCAAGGAUUGCAUGCUAGGACUUUAUGUUUAAUCUUAGACUUGUGAGAGGUUUUGAGUUUAGGAUUUGGGAAAUAGAGGCAACAAUAAUGGGUUGUUAAGUUCGACUACCUUUGAAGGUUGUCCUCCUUUGGAUUAAGGUUUGUUAAGGGUGCAAUGUUCUUUUUGUUCAAGUGGUUACUAAGGUUAUUAAUUUUGUUAAUUAGGUAACUUGUGGAGUUGGUGUUGAGCUUGGCCUGUGUGUUUUUGUGAAGAUGCAGCGGGAUUUUUAGGUGAGUAAAUUCUCACUAAGGUCCAUUUUGGGACCAAUUAUUUAUAAUUAUUAUGAUGAUGAUUUUGAUGAUGAUGAUGACAAUGAUUAUGAUGAUGAUUUUGAUGAUGAUAAUGCUUAUGAUGAUGAUUAUAAUUUAAAAAUUAUGUUUUUUUUGUUUUAAAAUAUAUGAGCUUAAUCGCCAACGGCUUAUAUGUAAGAAAAAAAAAGUUUUUCUAUUUAAAUGAAUUUUUAAGGUUCUUGUGACCAUAAUAUUUUUAGUUCUAUUGAUGUGAUUAUUUCUGCCUUGGUGGUGAUUGUGUGUCUUAGUUGUGAAUGUGUGCCUUAGUGGUGAUGGUGUGCAUUCGUUGUGGAAUGGUGUCUUAGUGGUGAUUGUGUGCAUUCAUUGUGGAAUGGUGUCUUAGUGGUGAUUGUGUGUCUUAGUUGUGAGUCUUAGUUGUGAAUAUGUGCCUUAGUGGUGAUUGUGUGCAUUAGAUUAGGAGCCUUCGUGGUGGACCCGGAACCAAGCCUUGGCCGGGUGAUUGGUUACGGUUAGUAUAGAGCUCUAGUCUGUUUGUUGGUACUUUAUGGGGGAUGACUAAGUUUUGACGAACCCAUGAGCACGCGUUUGUUUGGUUACUUAUGGGGGACGACUAAGUGUUGACGAACUUAUAAGUAAGAGUAGAGAAAUGAUUGUGUGAUGUUCUUAUGUGUUGUCAUUAAAAUUCUUUGUUUUGAGUAUCUCCUGAACUAUGCUUAUCCGCAGGAGAUUCUUUAAUCUUAAUUGUGUGAUUUUAAUGAAAUUCUUGAACUACGCUUUUUGAAUGAUUCAUUUAAGAUUUUAGAGUUAUAUCAUGCCCAAUUUUUUGGAAAUUUAACAAUUCGAAAAUUGGGGGUGUGACAAUGCUUCUCUCUCUCUCUCUCUCUCUCUCUCUCUCUCUCUCUCUCUCUCUCUCUCUCUCUCUCUCUCUCUCUCUCUCUCUCUCUUCUACUAGUGUAGAUACAACUCAUACAAGCUCAUAGUUUAUACUUCUCUCUUGUGUUAGUUGUCGUUUGUGGCUUUGUUCCAAAGAACCCAGAUCCCAAAUUUGAAGCUAUGUUCCAAAUAAAAGACCUAGAUUUUUAUUUCAUAAGAGUCGUUCUGAUUUGAUUCAAACUUCUACCUUUCUUUCUCCCAUUGUUCUUUCUCUCUUCUUUUCUUGAUCUUUGCUGAAAAAAGACGAAGAAGAAAGAGAAAGAAAGGAACAGAGUAAUAACGAAGAAGAAAGAGAAAUGAAUGAAUAUAGUAAUACUAUAUAAUUAGGGUCAAAACUGGAAGUAAGAAAAAUAGUGAACAAAAUACAGUACAAGCCCACUAUAUUGGACGACCUCCUGAAGAUGCAAAACCUACCAGUGUAGUCAGUCGACCAUGCUUUUGAUCGGGCAUAAGUUAUGCGAUGGAUGAAUUUUAGGCUAAUUAAGAGGCUAGACCAUGGUCUUGCCCCUUACGGUGCAUAUGUUCGUUCUUAAUCAAUUGAUUUAAUCUGUUUCUUUCAAAAAAAAAAAAGUCUAUUGUUUCAUAUCCAAAUUUUGUUAGUUUUUAUGAGGACUAAAAGAGAAACGCUUGUUUUGAGUUUACAUGGUAAGAAAAAUUCUAUAUGCCUACGUGUCAGCUGUAAGAACCAUGCGUGACAAGACUAGAGAGGGAUCAGUCGCCACAUUUCGGCGACAAACAACCAGUGCCGUCAUUUAAAUGGACUCAGAUCUUCAGCUCAUGUUUUCCUGCUCAUAUUGCCUCAUAAGGCAAUCCUAACCAUCCAGAAGUAAACAACGGCUCAGAUGCCAUUUAUUUUAGUUUUCAGAUAUUUUCUUCUCAUUCUCUCUUCCAAUUUCUCACAUCACAUAAUCUAUUCUCAGUCUCUCUUCCUCACGAAACUUGAGCGCUACUCCCNNNNNNNNNNNNNNNNNNNNCCCCCCCCACGCCACAACCACGAUCGAAUGAACAAGACCUAGUACCACCCUUGCACCUCCGCAUCCUUGCCCAGGAGUGUGCAGGGCUAGCACAGAUCUCCGGCCCUCCAGCAAGCGCGCACACCCUUGCCUUAUGCACAAGAUCCCUACCCAGCGUCGCCGACGUCACUGCCCUGCUAACGCCUCUAGCUUCUUUCUCCUUUUUCAUGUGUUCUCUGUGUGUUUGCUUGUUGAAUAGUUCCUCGAAAAACUGUUGCAAAACAAAGAGAAAACAGGGUGGUUUGGUUGUUGAACUCAGCCGUCCCACAAAUCUUCAGGAAUGACUUCCCAAAUCAGUUCCCCUUCUUCUCUAUUCAUCUUCUCUCAUUUGUGUAUAUCUUGUUAUUUCAAUUUGUUUUAUAACGUUCUAGACUGAGCUUGAGCUUCUUGGUUUUGUCCCAAUUUGGUCAUGUUUUAGAAAAGUAUGAGUACUUUGACCUUUUUGGGGGCCUUUGAGUACUUUGUGUAGAUGUUAGUAUACCUUUGGCCAAGUCUUCUGUGUUUUCUGUUCUACUUUUAACAUGAUAUGUUCCCUUAUAGUUGCAUAACAAUUUUGAGUAUUUUCGUAAUGAUCUAAAGACUUUCUCUUUUGGUUUCCUUACGGAAGUUUUCAUCAAGAUUAAAGUUUCUUAUGAAUUUUGGUUGAAUGGUAUUUGCAUGAGACGAAAAAGUGGGUGACGAGCAUUUUGGUUGGUAAUGGAGGGAACUUGGGUGCUUUGAGGCACAAGGAUUGCCUGAGUUUUCAAGACAGUCGGCUUCAUCCAGCAGCAGGGUUUAGGGAUAUAGUUUUCUGUCGAUUCCAAAAUGUAUUGAUUAGUGCCAUUUUUAGUUUCUAUGAUAUUCAAGAUUGAUGCAUUAUGGUAGCUUUGAAAGUAAAGUUCAUAUCAAUGAAAUUGACUGCGGUUGUCUAAGCAUCAUUUAUGUUUUUGUUGUUGAACUUAAAGUAUGAAAGAAAAGAAAAUUGAGAGAUUUUUGGGGUGUGGAUUGUAAAUGAUGGUAGAGGUAUUGUUUGUUUUACAUGGUCCUUGCAUACAUGAGGUAUAUUUGACACAUAAACACAAACCUAGAACUCUUAUUUAAUUUACAUACACAGCAAUUCUAUGUGUACACACACAAGUUCUGGGACUGUAAAUGAUGGUUGUUAGUUGCCAAAUACAAAAUACACAAAACAUCAGCAUAAGUACCCAAAUACACUUCCAUCUCUUAAAAAGCUAUAGCCUUCAUAACAACCAAGUUGAAUAGAUUCCUAGCAAAAUGUGUAACAAAGCACAAAUCUGCCAAUUUUCCAUGCUGCAACUCUGCACCACUUUUCCUCAAAAUGAUCCUGCACUAGUUUUCCUUAUGAUAUGAUAUUCUUGGGUCUUGCAAUGAAAAUGGAAAUCCCAUGAUAUUUGAUUGACAAAAUGGUUGUGCAGUUGGCCUAGAUGAUUCUUGAUAAGCCAUCCAAGACAAUUGGUUUGACAUAUUCAAUUCAUGCAUCUGUAGUACUAGCGGUAAUAAAAUCAGCUAGGGAAAAAAAAGUAUUAGGAUGAUAGAGCAAAACAAAAAUCAUAUAUAAUAAACACACUCACGUUAUAAGGAUGAUAGAACAUUGACAUAUAUCUACCAUCAUCAACUAUCAUAGGAGAGUGAAUAGGUACCUGCAAGUACUAGUAAUGAAUCAUAUAAUUCCUUAAAUUUUUUAAACUCAUUAUGCACAAUAUAAAAAAUACCUGAGAUGAAUGUGAAAGAGGUAAUGAUGAUUGACUACAUAACUGUAUACCAACAGUAUUGUUCCCAAUGACCUAUCACAAUAUCAAUAAUUAGAAAUGCUAUAUAUGUACUCUACUAAUAACAAAAACUUUCAAGUUAGCUUCUUUUCCUCAAGUUAGCUACUGCCAAACCAAAGAAAACAUCUAUAUCACCAUAUAUCAUUGUCAGUACUUAAUUAAUCUUAUGCUUUUAAUUACAAGAAUGCGAAAAUUAAAUGAAGCUACACACUAGAUGGUAGCUUGUGUAAAAAACUCAAGUAAACUAAAAGAAUAUCAGUACAAAAUUAAUAAGUGAUGAAGAAGGUACCUAACGUGACGAAGGCACAUAAGAUUGGUCUGUUGCCGCAAUUGGAUUUGGAACUUUGGUUACCUAUCAUUGUAUCAGUUAUUAAAAUUAGGGUGCUUAAAUUUACACACCCCAAAACACAAACCACACACCCCUCUAUUAUUUUAUUAAUAUUUUCCCCCACUAUCUCUUUCACUUCCAAAAAUAUCCUUAAUCUAAUUCUUUUUUCUCCCACUAUCUCUUCUCAUACCUUUCUUCGUUUCUUUUCCCUCUCUCUCUCCUCAAAUACCUAUCAGACCAUUUUCCUCUCUUCCUCCAAACAACAAACUUUUCCACUCUUCCUCCAAAACAAAACAAGAUCUUCUUCUUUUAUGAAUAAAUGUCUUUUGUAAGGGAUAUUCUUUUUCUGUUGCCUUAAAUUUGAAAAGAAAAAAACUCAAUUUUAAUUUGAUGUUCUUAUCUAUGACAAUGAAUAAUAGUUCUAAACUAGGAGAAGACGCACAUGUACACUAUCUUACUACAACAAAUUCAAGGAUUUAGUAUUCAAGGGAGUAGCUUGUUCGUCUUGACAACAGCUUGGCCAAUAUAAACAAUAAAAGUCAUUAUCCCAAUACAACUCUCCAAUAAAAUCCAAAAUAUUCAAAAGUUGCAUUACUUCAGGAACAUCUAUUGACUUCAUAAAUAGUCCUAGACUUGUUCUAACAAAAAGCUCCAACAGAGACAUAUUAACAAGUAAUAUCUCUCAUCAAUUAGCAGUCAAAAAAUUUAGCCAAUAUUGUUGCUUCCUUUCCUACAGUCUCCACAGAGCAAAUCUCACCUACCAGAGAUAAAUACUCGAGUGAAAUUGACAUAACAAAGCAAAUCUCACCUACAAGAGAUAAAUACUCAAGUGAAAUUGACAUAACAAAGCACAAAUUCAAGUUUUACAUCAUAUUUAAACAUGUAUGCACGAGAUAAAUUAUGCACAUCAUGACCAUACCUCAAGUCCAAUGAAACAAAAUAUGUCACAAAUAUUUGUUUAGUAAAGUAAAGUCGUAAACAACCAGAUGAGUUAAUAUGAACAAAACCACCUACAAAUGUAAUCAAACCAAUGCACAAUGAAAAACUAAUCGAACAAGGAAUCCAAAUGAAAAUCUAAUCACACUUCGUUGUAUUGGGAGUAGUCCAUUGCAAACUAACCAACAAACUUGGAAUGUAAUAUCAACUUAGAUAACCAAAAUUUUAAAGAUUAACGAACAUAUAUGUGAGAAGAACAUAUUCAGAAAACUAGGCUUCUAUACAAUAUUCAAGAAUAUAUCAGCAUAUAAAGUUGACAGAAGCAUCAACCAAAAGAAAGAAAUAAAGAAAGUAAACAAACAAUUAUGACUAACACAAAACAAGCUUGCAUAUUUACCUUAUUGUGUUCCUGAUGGAGCAAACCUAUUAGUAGAUGAACAUUUGUUCCGAUAAUGACCAAUAUUACCACAGCCACUACAUUUUCGUGGUGCUUUCUCCACUACCUCAAAAUGUGAAAUUUCUCGCGUUGUAGAGCUGGUUCCUUUUCUUUUAGUUGAUCCUACCGGGCGGCCUUUGUGAGGUUGAAGAGUAGGUUCAAAAAUUAAAGGAGAAGAUGCACCACGAAUCCUAGAAAGCUGCCUCAUGGUAUUUUCUUUUUGCAUAAGUGGCUGCUUUUCAUACCUCUCUUUAAUCUCAGAUAAAAGACUAUUGAAUGGAUCUUCAUGAUCCAUGCUUGCAUGAUGAUCAUUAGUGAAUGAUCUUGUGUCAAUCCUCCAUUGCUUAUGAAUAUGAGUUAGAGGCAACACUUCAAUAUUCAUUCCCUUGAUCAUGUGCACACAUGGAAGACCCAUGGUAUUGGAAAAUUGAUCGAGUAUCAUAAUCUUUUGUAUUUGCCAACAAAUAUUGCUUUUGUAACUCAAACAAAGCAUAGAAAGAUACCUUAUUAACCACCUCUUUGAAGAAAGGGAUGCAAAGCUUUUGAGGAACACGAAUCUUUUCACUUGCAAGUUGAGUUAUAAUUUCUUGAAACUGAUUUUGAAUUGCAAGACAAAUAUUUUCCUUCACUUCACGGAGACCACCAGUAGAAACUUGAAGAUAUUUCUUUAAAGUUCCAUGUGCACCUUCUGCUCUAGAAGUAACAUUAUUACCAAAAUGUAAAAUCUGUCCCGUCCAUGCAUACACAAAUCUCUCCUUCCAUGAAAGCCAAAUAUUGGCAAUGUAAGUUAGAACUGAUGCCUAGUCUUUGUACUCAAGCUGAAAACGGUUCCAAGCUUCAUUAAACAUUGACACAUCCCAAGAUUUUACAAGGGUAAUCCAAGAACACAUAAAAGCAUCCCAAUCUACAUCUUCCUUAAACUGACCCUUACAAUGUGCAAGGAUAUUUUUUUCAAUAUGUCAUAUGCAUAAAAGAUUAGGAGUCCCCGGAAACACAAUCUGAAUUGCUUUCAUCAAUGCCAACUCCCUGUCAGUUAUAAUCGCCAAUGGAUGAUCACCAUCUCCCAACAACUUACUAAACAUUUCAAGAGCCCACUGAUAGUCCUGUUGUUCCUCUUUUUGCAUGAAAACAAAACACGAAUAGAAGGAAGUGUUGAAACUCGACACUCCUAUAAUCUCAAGUAAUGGCAUCUUAUACUUAUUUGUCUUAUAAGUACAAUCCAUUACAAAGACACUCGAGUAGCUUUUAGUCAACUCAAUGGAUGUCGGAUGAGCAAAGAACAAAUGAGUCAAAUGACCAGAAUGAUCAUAUUUGACAAUAUGAUAAAAACUAGCACCACCAAGCUCAUCUAAUAAUGCUUGAAUAAUUGAACGCCCACCUAGACUUUCCUUCCUAAAUUGAGCUGUCUUGCUAUAUAUAUUUCUUGAAACUGCAAGAAGAUCAGGAUUAUUUUGGCGAAGGGAAAAGAGAAUCUGACGUGGUUUUAUGCCAGCCUUACUCAUUUGUUCAACUUGUAUAGCUUCCUCUUUGGUAAAUCUACGAGAAUAUGGAUGUCCGGCCAUAUCAAUGGAAGGAUCAUGAUUAUGAAAUAAGCUAAUUAUCUCAACCUUCCACAACCCUUCAGCUGUACUUCUUCCCACAAUUUUGAAAGGGCAAUCUAUCAAACGAGAAGCUGAAUUUUUUUUUCUUCUCCUCAAGUGUAGAGAGGUUCGAUAAGAACCACCUCUAUCACAACCAAUAAGCACAUAACGUCUAUCACCACCUUUACUCCUUUUGGAUCGUUUGAUUACCAUAGCAUACCCUUGUGACUUCCCAAUUUUACGAACAACACUCAGAAGAUCUUCUCGAGUUUCAAACAACUUCACCGAUAAUGAGAGGAAUUCAUUCGCAAUAUUAGUCACGGAGGGGCCUUCAAGUAAAUCAAAGAAAAAGAAAAUAAUUAAAGGGUCCAGAUGAUCUUCGUGACUAUCCAGUGAGGAGCCCCACACCAACAACAAACUCUAAUUACAAAUUCUUAACAUGAUAAAAGUGAUAACAGAUAAUACUUUCCAUUGACAAUGGGGCCUUCAAUGAGACUAGAUGGGUGAUUAGAAUGUAAGUCUUCCUCCAAACCAUCUGAAGACAUAGAAAUAUGCAACCCAGCAACCAUUGGAUCUUCCUCCAUACCAUCUAACUUCCUGCUGCUGAUAUUGGGGAUAAAGAAAUUUUUGUCAGUAUAAGCUAUUCUACAAGAUUUUGGGUAAGCAUAUAGACUUCAAAUUACUCGAUUAAUCAGAAACCCUAUACCCAAAAAUCAUAAGGAAACAAAUUUGUGCAAAUUGAUAUGAUAAGAAAGAUAAAGACAGUAGCAAUGAUUGAACUUAAGAAAAGAACAACAAAAUUAACCAGAGCAACGAUUGACCUGGUUUGGAUAAAAGAUUGGUUGGAGUUGGAGCUGGAGCUGGAGUUGGGAUUUGGGAACAAGAGACUUUCAGUAUAGAGAGAAAGAAUUUUGACGUUUGCAGAAGAAGCAGAGAGAAGAGAUUUGGGGAAGAAAGGUAUGAGAAGAGAUAGUGGGAGAAAAAAGAAUUAGACUAAGGGUAUUUUUGGAAGUGAAAGAGAUAGUGGGAGAAAAUAUUAAUAAAAUAAUAAAAGUGUGUGUGGUUUGUGUUUUGGGGUGUGUAAAUUUAAGCACCCUAAAAUUACUAUAUUUAGUCAAAAGUACAUAAUAGCUUCAGCCAUAGUUAAAAACACAUUACCUGUGUAGCCUUCUUUUUGCUUUUGCUUAAUGCAGCUUCAAAGUCUCCCACGAUGCGUAGAUUCUCUUUUUUUGAAUCCCUUUGCAUUCAGAAUAUUACGAUUAUUAGAGCAAUCAGCCAAUACAUUUUGGUCUUGAUCUUCCACAUCUUUAUCACCGUUUAUUUCUAAACGUAACAUGUCUUCAACCAUCUUUGCUAAUUUAUCAGCUUCCAUAACUACUCAUAUGCCUUUUCACUCUCAGAUGCUUUACUGCUACUCGAACGAGUUUAGAACACAAGAUUUUGUUUUGAGAAAUUCGUUUUAGUCUUGGAUUCUCUACAAUCUCCUGCCCAUGCAUGUCUUCUACAACAUUAUCAAUUCUUGCAUUUUUGGUCCACCUCUCCAAGAUAUAUUGAUCAGGUAUUUUUUUUUAUGAGUGUAGUUUCUCUACCUUCAUUCAUGACUUUGAUAGCAUGCCUACACAAGACACCAUCUGUCUCAAACAUUCUACAACUGCAAGAUACAGUAAACUCUCCUUCUCUUUUUACUACCUACCCGCUUCUUAGUGAAUCCAUCCCUAACCACUGUGAAGAUAAAAGUUUCACCAUUGGACACAGACUUCGUUAUGGAAGACUUUAAAGACUCUUCAAAUUGAGCUUGAAAUUCUUUAAAUAUCGCUUUGGUAUAAACUUCUCGUGCAUGUUUCAAGAUAUUUAUCUCCAUUUUGCAGUGAACAAUCCGGAAUUGCAGAUCAUACUCGGCUUCCAAUUCCUGACACCGCUUAUCAUAUACCAUUCUUUCAAAGUGAGUAAAAAACUUGGCCAGCUGAAGGUCAGAUUUCAAAUACCCCCUUCAAACUAGCAAUAUUAAAGCUUUCACUAAGUUGGUACUUUUCAUUCCUGCUGACCAUGUCCACUUAACAUAUGCAUGCACCCAUUUUUUUUCUUAUUGCAAAUGUCGCAACCAACUAAGGAUCAUCAUGUGCAUUGUGUUGAUCAAGCAUGGACUCCCAAGCACUUAAGAACUCAUCUUCUUUCUCAAUCCAAUAAAGAAAUUUGUUGAAUACAUUGCUCUUAUCAUCGGUAUUAGAAUUUUUGAAUAAGAAGCCUACUUUCUUCACGGCAUUUUGCAUCAAAUGCCAUACACAAAGUUGGUGGUAUGUAUCAGGCAUCACUUGUAAUACAGCCUUGGUAUCACUGCAUCUUGAUCAGUAAAAAAUGUUUGUGGAGGCUUAGCACACAUUGCCUUCAAGAAGGUUUCAAACAACCAUAUAUUUGAUGUUGUAGUCUCGUCAUACAUCAAAGCAGCUCUAAAUAUAAUUGUCAGGACCCACCCCGAAUUUCACCUUGAAACCCGAGGUAAAUCCUGUGGGGUCCACCUCUAAGGAAAAUUUACCGAAAAUUCAGCAUAAUCUACCUUGAAAAUGGACAACCCUUAUCUGAAAAAUCCAACUUACACUUCUAUAACCAAACAAACCAGCCUCAACACCUGGAGCCUUUCUGCUCCCCAAGAUUAUCACAUCUCCCAAUAUAACAAUUACUCAACUACAAUAAUCCCAUAACCAACAAAAGACAAUUAAUAAUUUACUACUGGACUUGCAGAGCAUAUCUAAAGUUGAAUGAAAAACAAUGAAUAAAGAAUAAGCGGAAGCUGCCUCUGACUAUGCCUCGACUCCAUGUACGCUCGACCUCAUUUAAACUUAUCAUGCAUACUGAACAUUUAAAACCAAAGGGCCCAGGGGAAAGUAAGUUAAAAAUGUUAGAGUAAGUGGACAAAAAUAAAUUAAAUAAUUUAACAAAAAAAUAACUUGUAUACUUUCCCACUAGUUAAUCAAAUAUAGAAAUCUCGUAAAAAAAGAUAAACCAGCCCCACUGGUUUAAUCAAAUUUAUAACUGAGAAAAAUCAAAUAAAGGGAAGAGUUAUCACCAUGUAAGAGAAGCCUCUCAGGCUCGGGUCGGUGUCUCCCAGGCUAUAAUAGCGUCCCACGCUAAGCGCUCAACUCACCUAUGGUGAGGACCACUAAUAAAGACUAGCUAGCAAUAAAUAAUAAUAUCCAAUCGGUGCCUCCCUGGCUAUAGUAACGUCCCACGCUAAGCGCUCGACUCACCUAUGGUGAGAACCGCUAAUAAUAAAGGCUAGCUAGUAAUGAAAUAUGAGCGACCCUAUAUUAUGGUGACUAAAACCAUACGAAAUCACUUAAAUCCAUUGAACUUCCCCAAGAUCAUACGAAUGGUAUGGUUCCCAACCGUACUUGAAAAUUAUCACAAGAAAUUAUAAUAAUACUCAUUGACGUGUCUCACGUCAAUAUAUUCUCAAAUCCAUAAUCAAAAGUGAGAUUUAAUUAUCAAGUAUAAAUUGUAAUUAAUUUUUCAAUCCGAAAAUACUUGCUGAAAAUAUUCUCAAUGUCAAGGUCAAUAAUCCACAAUUAAACAAGAAAGUUAUAAAUAGAGAAUUACCGAAAAUCUCAUUUUCGAAAAUCUUUAUAAAUCUCAAAGUCCACCAUAAAACAAUCAUAAUGAAAUCCGGAAUUUAUAAAAAAAUCCAAAUUCAAAUAUCAAAUUAAUAAUCCGAACUCAAAUCCAUAAAUCAUGACCAACCAUUAAUCAAUGCUUCAAACUCAAAUAAUUUCCAAGAUCAUCUCAUAAGCCAAAAUUAUAACAUAAGCUCGGAAAAUAAAAUGAUAAAUUAUAAAAUCUUGCAUACAUAUUUAUUUAAAACCAAAAUGUCCACUCACAAAUUGAGGCAUAAGCCCGACGAUAUCCGAAUCGCCACUCAAGCAAGGUUCCCUUUGUAUCUUGGCACUAUAACCAUGCUUAGAACCAAACUUCAAUUCCAGAAAAUAAAUACUUAAAUAUAAACAUCAAAACUCUUCCGCUUAACUCACUACCCUUACUAGGGUUAAGCUCCCCGGAUUUCCACUAAACUCCACCACAACCUUAAUUUAUCAAUUCUAACAUUCUAGAAUAAAUACCAAAGAAAUCCAAUGGCAGGAUUUUUAUUCUAACAACCGCCAAAAUUCUCAAUCUUUGAAAAAAUCUCAAACCUAACCAAAACUCCUCCAAAAAUUCCAAACUUCACAUCAUUAAACUCCCUUAAUAUAACACAUUUAAAACCCUGAAAAGCCCCCUUACAGCCCCCUCACAAAGUCUAAUUUCGAGCUUAACUAAGUCAAUCGAACAAAAACAUCGAAUGUUGAGAGGAAAGUUGUAGAUGGUGCUAAAAUUUGGUAGGCAUUGGAGGUCUCCUAGAAGUUCAACUACCUAGCUCAAGAGGGAGUGAAUCCUUUUGAGGGUUUGCUACCCAAAGUGAGACCUUCCAAACGGGACAAGAAACUCCGGCUAUGGUGGCCGAAGAAGGAAGUUCCGGCGAAAACUCCACCGAGCACAGCCGCGUCUUUCCGGCCCGAUUUCUCCUUCACGGCGGCGUGACUUCACCGGGCCAGCUACCCAAAAUGAUGGAGGAGGAACUAAGCUUCAAAUCCCGACCGGUAUGGCAGCCUAACUCCGCCGGAUGGCGGCGAACGGAGGUGGAGAAGGCGCCGGGUCGGGAACCGAGCGGGAGAGAAGAGAGAGAAGUGAAAGUGAAAAUCUGAUUUUUCACUUUUGACUUUCCACCUUUGGUCCCUUUUAUUCCUACCUUCCUGAAAUAGUAACUUCAGUUUUUUAGACCAUAACUUCUUCAUACGAACUUCGUUUUUGACGUGCCACAUGUCUACGAACUCCGUUUAACGUCCUCUACGACUUUCAUGAAGAAAGUUUUCCCAAAUUUUAGACGAAAGAAAAAGUCAAUUUUUGGAGCCUUAAAUAGUAAACGGUUACUCAAAACGGUAAAAGUCAAAAUAAUACCAAAAGUAAAUAACCCUAAUUUAAUUUAAGAACCGGGAUGUGACAAUAUAUAAUCGUCUCCCUGUGGUGAUUUAGUCCAACAAAUACCGCAAAUGGCCGAUUAAUUUUCUUCGUUAAUUUUGUAAGUUGUAUCAAAACUUACAACAUCUCCAAAUGAAGCAUAAUCCAUUAUUAUUUUAGCAUCUGCCCAGAAAAUGUUGGUGAUUUGUUCCUCACUAUCCAACUGCAUCUCAUAGAAAAAAGAUGGAUUGUCCAACAUUUUCUUUGAAAAAUAUUCCAACAGAUAACCAGCUUCUCCAAAUUAUUAUUUUGUUUUUUUGUCAGACAGUUCGAAGAUAGUUCUUUUGGUCUUGCUUUGAAAAUCUCAAUAUUCCACCAGCAUGCUUACCCAUUAAUUCAAAUGCAGACUUUGGCGGAACUCUUGAAUUUGAAGUCAAGUCUAUAAAUGCACCAUCUGAAGCUUUGGCAUUUCGGUGAGAUGGCAACAUAUGCACAAGAUCUAUCUUAACAAGAGGAUGAUUAUGCUCUUCGGAGAAACGGUACACACAAUACUUCCCUGUACGCCUAACAAACUUAAUGCCAAUAUGCGCUCCACAUCCGGUCCUUGUCUCACCUCUUUGGGUUUUUUUUUUUUGUUAAAAAAGCCUCUUGGGUUUUUGGUCAAAUCGUUUCUCUUGUCCUUCCCUCGCACACCUUCCUUACAACAAACAAAAGUCCUUGAAGUGAUUACCCCAAACUUAUCCUUGGCACAACUAUCUUUUCUAAUGCUGAAGCCUUCUCUGCGUCCAUACUCAUUAUAAAAAUCAUAUGCAACUUCAUCAUAAUCAAACUCCAUACCAUAUCUAGGCUUCCAUAUCAAUUCUUCUUUUGAUAGCUCCAUGCUACUUUCUUCCACAGAUUCUUCCAUCCUCAAAACCUACAAUCAAGAUUGCGAGAAAAAUAAAAAAAACCAAANNNNNNNNNNNNNNNNNNNNAAAAGAAGAACAUAAACAAAAAUAGAAAUAAACACAGUGAUCUGAUUCCAUCAACUUUCUAAACCCUAAAUGGUUACGAUUUACAAGUGAGUAAACUAACUUAUAUGAGUUGAUCUUUUCUUUUGUUGACAAUGAACAAUAAAUACCUUUGAACCUUCUUCUCUGCGUGGCCAAUGGAAAGAUUCGACAGAGAGAGAGGGAGAGAUGAGAGAAACAGAUACGGAGGGGGGGGGGAGAUAGAAGGAGACGAAGAUGAAGAGAGUCCUCCAAUCUUCUGGUUUGUUUUUUAGGAUAAUGCCCAUUAGCCCUAAUUUUAAAAAUUGUAAUCCCCUUAACAAAAUCAUAUUUUAAAAUUCCGAAGAGCCAACUUAAACAGAAAAAAGACAACUAUACCCUUAAUAAUUUAAAUAAAUUACAAUAAACCAUUAUAAGAACAAUAGAAGAUCUAUUUUGAAAUAAAUAUCUAUGAUCGGAUUCUCGCAACCGAUGACCGUUGACCAUAACUCCGGCGGCUGUUGACCGGACUUCGGUGAGAGGGCAGUAGGUUCGUUGGGGAGUCUAUUGGGGGCAGUAGGACUUCAUGUCCGGGGUCUAUUAGGGCAGUAAUGGUUCGUCGGGGGGCGGGGGGUCUAUUGGGGGAAGUAGGGGGUUCGUCGGGGGUCUAUUGGGGGUAGUAGGGGGUUCAUCGAGGGUCUAUUAGGGGCAAUAGGACCUCCUAUUGGGGGCAGUAGGACCUCCUACUAGGGGUAGUAUGACCCUUGAACUUAGCUGUGUGCUUCAGUAACUUAUAACAUGUCCAUAUUAGGGGUAGUAAGACCACCUAUUGGGGUCAGUAGAACCUCCUAUUGGGGACAGUAUACAUGAAAGAUGAGAGAGUAUGAGUGACAAGACCCACCCCGAAUUUUACCCUAAAACCCAGAGUAAAUCCUGCGGGGACAACCUCCAAGGAAAAUAUUACUAAAAAUUCGGCAUAACCUCCCUUGAAAAUGGACAACCCUUUCUAAAGAAAACCUGCAAACACUUCUAAAAUUCUUAAUCCACCCUUAACUUCUGGAGCCUACGUGCUCCCCAACACAACCACCACCCAGAAAUAAUAAAUCAUCUUCCAAAUCAACACAUAAUUAUCCAAAUAAGAUCACAUAAAUCAUCCGAAAAAUAUUCUAAAAUGCCAACAAGCCUUCGCCCAUAACCGAAUUAAAAUUAUACAAUAUCCCCAUGGGAAAAUCAGAGCUACUAGACACUAGAGGAAGCAAGAAAAACACAGGUAGGUUAAAUAGGUAACCUACGGAUGAAAGAUGGUGGAAAUGCGGGUGACUAUGCCUCGCCUCCUACUAGAUCCAACCAGUACUCUGCAGACUGGGCAUUUUAAAACGAAUGGCUCAUUAAUAACGUUAGAGUGAGUGGACAAAAAUAAAUUAUUAAAAAUAUUUAUGCAUUCCCAUUUUAAUUCCAAAGAAAAAUACAUUGCAUGCGGCAGCUCAAAAGCACUCAACUCAUAAACUAGCAAUUUCACGACUAGCUCCAGCUAGUCACCAACUCAAAUAAAAUGGAGCCUCUCAGGCUAAACUAUAUAUAAACAUAUAGGCGUAUGUAUUUACACUCGUCAGACUCCUUGUAUGAAUCCUAUGAACAAAUUAGAAAAAUAGAAAUUCAUACAAGGCUACGACGCUUGCGUCUAACGCUCACGUCGCGCCAUAAUGAAAUUUUUCCUUAUUAUGACCGAAGAGGACGGUGUAUUUAUAUACGUGUGGACUCCCUAUAUGAAAACCUAAAUAAACCAGAAAAGAAAGUAGUUUUCAUAUAGGGCUAUGAUGCUUUUGUCUAACACUCACGUCACGCCAUAAUGAAAUUUUACCUCAUUAUGACGGACCAAGCACAUAGGGCUAACUAGCAUUUAUAUACAUACUAUACUCAUAACAUCCAAUAAACAUAUCCACCUCCAAUAAACAUAUGCACCGAAAAUCUCAUUUUCGGGAUCUCUCCAAAGGAGGAAAAAUUGUCAAAUAGCCGAGAAAUCAAUAAGUCUCAUCAGAAGAAAUAAAUGAUCAACAAAAUAAUUCAUUGCAUGCUUUUCAAUUAAAACAAAGGUCCACUCACAAAUUAGGCCUAAGCCUGAUGACGCUCCGAGGCUUCUUCUGCUCGGGCCUCCUCUCGUCCUGAACCAAAUAUACAAUUAAUUUCCCAACUAAAAAUCCAAUAUUUAAAUAAAAUGGGCAAAAUUAAACGUGAGCCUCCCACACACUCAUCUUUGCCCAACUUCGCCAUUCUUAACUCAAAAUGGCUCAAACUUCACCGAACAUACCGGCAGCCCUAAUUCAACCUUCCACAGAUUAUACGACUUAAAUCCAACGGCCGGAUUUUACAUUAAUUAACCGCCAAAAAUACCAAACUUCGGAAAUUCACAAACCCAUCCAAAACUCAUCCGAAAAUUCUAUAAUUCACAUCAAUAAACUCCCCUUAAUAUUCCACAUUUAAAACUAUACAAAACUCCCAAACAGCGGCGGCCGGAGGCCGAUUCCGGCGACCUCCAAUGCCUAUGAAAUUUUAACAGAAUAAUCCUCUCAUCAUGCUCUACAACUUUCCUAACUAACACAAACCUAAAAUCCAAGCCUAACUAUGCCAAUCGAACGAAAACAUCCUAAAAGCCCUAGACCUUCCACCUCGAAUUUCUCCUUACCUGAAGCGAACCGGAGUGAGUCCUUUCAGGGCAAGGCAGCUGGGUUGGAGAUCUAUAAAACCGUACAAGGCUUGCCCGGAUUUGUGGCCGGAGGAGAGAGCUCCGGGGAGAGAACCACCACGGCUUUUUGCCGUGAUAACUUGCAAACGCCGGCGGGAGAGGGGCUGUCACCAACUUAGGGCUGGAGAGGGAAGGACAGGGGCCUAAACAAGACCGGUCCGGCGGCCUGGCUCGGUCGGUCGACGGUGGCAAGAGCUGGAGAAGAACCGGAAGUGGGAGAGGUCGGGAGGAAGAGAAGAAAAAGAGAGGAGAAAAUGGGGUUUGGGCCUCACACAAACCCGGCCCAACACCACAAAUAAAACCCAACUCCACCAAUUUAACACCCCAAAACAAAAUACCCUAUUAAAAAUUACCUUUUACUAGCUAAAAUUUACCAUUUUUACCGUCGUCACAUUUUUCUCAGACGAAUAAUUCCCCGAAAAUAACUGUCCCCCAAACCUCUCUAGGGACCAAUUAAACUAUAUCUCAAUGACGGAGACGGUAAAAUUCUUAUUAUAACCGAGCUAGUAAAUAAGAUAAAAAUUUAAGGGUCGGGAUGUGAUAAUGAGAGUCUAUUGGGGGUAGUAGGAGAGUCAUAUUAGAUAAAAUCAUAACAAUCAUAAAAACGUAACCAUAGUAGCAGAAUCAAGGGAAGCAUUAUUUGGAAGUAAUUGGGCUUGAGCUUUCUUUGCUAAUCGUUUCUGAAUAUGAAGAAAUGAAUAACAAGAUUUAUAAGUAAUAGAAUAUUAUAAGAGAAGAAGAGAGAACCCAAUAGAGAGAACUACAAGCUGAGAACUCAUUCUUUGUCUUGGUUUUCAAAAAUUCAAGAAGUUAAGUUACAUGUAAUGCAAGUGAACCGUCAGGUAAGACUAACAUGCACAGAUUGAAGCCCCGUAACACAAGCACCCCAGAUCAAAUAACUUACAUAAAGAACUUUUAUUUCUUUGAAGGGACAAAAUAUUAAGGUUCUAGAUUUCUUUGCCUAAUCUAUCAUCACCAUCAUAGAUUAACAAAAGACAAAGUAUGCACACCUCAUUAGCAUUAGUCUCAUGAUCAUUAUAAAAUUCCCAAUCAACACACGAUUUCAAUCAGCAAGACCGAUCAUAGAAUUAAACUUUCUUUUCUCAAUCUCUUCACUGUACAAAAGACCAAUUCAAAUAAGAACUCAUCUUACUCACAUUUGCCACACAUCAUAUAACAUAAAAUGUAGAACAAUCUGAUUUGCAUAGACAACUACAAGUCAUGAACUACAUAGUAGGUCAGAUUCUUAAUUAUAGACAAUCACCAUGAGAUGAAACUACUGCUACUCCCAGAAAUUAUAUCUAAAUUCCAAUAGUAAAAAUUACCCAUCCCUCUCAAGUAAAUGUGCUUCAACCCCAAUCCAUGCUUGUCGCGAAUGCAGCCAGGCCUGAUUUCCAAAGUAUAAUGUCAUUCCUCUACGACAAGUCGAUGGGCGGAGCGAUCUGUCUUCUCAUCCACUUCGCUGAUCCUAAUUCGACGACGCGAUUGUAGUGGAGUCGAUGUGCAAAGUCUCCGACGAUGUCAAGUAGGUCCAGCGAGUCACUAGGCAGCGCAAUUUGCCUUUUCAUCCACUUUGCCGAUCUCAUAGCCUUCGACGACACGAUUCUGGUGGCGCCGAUGUGCAAAGUCCCCGACGAGUCAAUCAAUAGAUCCAGGAGAGAGAGAGAGAGAGAGAGAGAGAGAGAGAGAGAGAGAUCUGGACGGGAGGAGAAAAAAGAGAGUGCAAGGGUAUUUUGGACACCAAAAAUAGAUUAAAAUCUGAAAUUUUGGCUAGUGGAAUAAAGCUCUCUUAGAUAUUAUAGGGUUAGUGAGAAUUUUAGAUUCUUAUUUUGUUAGUGGGAAAAGUUUCUUAAAAAUUGGGCGGAAGGGAAUUUUCCCUUGUUUUUUUCUUUGUUGUUUGAUGUGAGAGAUUAAUUACACAAGAAAUUGGAAGAGAGAAUGAGAAGAAAAUAUCGAGAAUAAGAAGAAAAUAUCUGGAAACUAAAAUAAAUGGCAUCUAAGCCGUUGUUUACUUUUGGAUGGUUAGGAUUGCCUUAUGAGGCAAUAUGAGCAGGAAAACAUGAGUAGAGGAUCCGAGUCCCAUUUAAACACAGUUGUAGGUCCACACUAUAUCCAUUAAUUUCAUAUGUGUCUGCUAGCGCACUCUUGCACAACCUCACUUUCAAUUACCUAUAUAACCAAUAUUGCUACAACAUCCUUCCUAGGGAUGACAAUAAUCCCUAACGGGUAAGGUACCUACGGGUAUUCGAUCCUAACGAGGGAGAUAUACGGGGAUAAACGGGUGACGGGUAUGGGGAUCUUCAGUAUUCGGAUUUUUGAAUUGGGUACGGGGCGGGUAUGGUAUUUUGAUAUUCGUCCCCAUCCCCACUCAUUUAGGAUGUAAAUAUUAUUUUUUAAUAUAUAUUAUUUAUAAAUAGAUACUUAUGUAAAAUCUUUUGUAAUAUUUUUUUACUAUGAUUUUCUUAAUAAAUAUUUAUAGAAACUUCUUUUUUAACUGAGACUUGUAUUUGUUUUUGUUGGAUUGAAUCAAGAAACUGAUUUAUAUAUAUAUUUGAUUUUAUUUUCAUAUUUCUAUAUUUUGUAAUUAUUUUUUAAAAAUUAAUUAUUAAAUAAUUAAUAACGGGGAUCGGGGCAGGUAUGGGAACAAAAUCCGUAAAAAGACGGGUACGGAGAAUCCCCAUUAUUUAAUUACAGGAAAUGAGACGGGUACGGAGAUGAGAAAUAAAAAAAAGUACGGAUAUGAUAUUUUAAUCCGUUAACCCUAUCUUUUCCAUUGCCAUCCCUAGUCCUUCCAAACAGUUUUAUCACAUGGGUAGUUUCGUCGUUCCAUACUCCGCAUAUACAAUACAGCACGUGCGAGAUCCCCACGUGGUCGCCGUCAAUGACCUCUCCCCCUCCUCCCUUAUUUGGCAGCGUUAAGAGCUCUAAGACUUCACGAAAAUCUGGAACUUUCGUUGUUAGGGUUUUCAGAAAACUAAUCAACCUGUCGAUUCUCCUGAAAAUCGAAAUAUAGCUAUCGAUUUCCGGUUCGGGAAGCCGCUCUCGCUUUUUUAUUUUGUUGCUUGUUUGUUUUGGGGAAACCAAUUCAUGGUGCAGUUGAUGAGUUCCGGCGAUCUCCGCCAAACGACGCCGUGUAAGGAUAAGGUGCCGGUCAAAUUGGAGAUCGAAGACUCUUUGGAGGAGGAGCAUGGUCCCCUCAACAAGCGCUCCAGACCGUCCUUUGCUUAUCAAGAGGUUCCAUUUUUUGAUCUAUUUCGUUCUUCUCCUUGAUAUAUAAUAUAGAUCAGAAAAAUGAAAAUAGUUCAAUACCUUCUGUGAUCCUCGCUUGUAUUUUUGUUUUUGUUUUGUUUUAAAAUUGGAAUCUAAAUCAGCUUGAUAUAUUCAUGCUUGAUUUUGUAUGUUUGUGGUCCAAUAUAUAAUGUAAAGCAGCCGAAAAAAAAAUACAUGUUCAUGCUGGUUGUUUUUUAUUUCGAAUACUUCAACUGAUUUCGCGGUUGAUGUUGAACUUUAGCUUUCUUAGGCUUGUAGUUUAUUUUGUUGUAUUGCUUUUAUGGUAUAUUGUUGUAAUUAUGACUCAUUGAUCUCGGUGUUUAGUAUGAAGAUUUCGGGGUAUAGUUAUUCGACUGAUCUUUGGAUUCUACCUUAUAAAGGUUUAUGUUGAACUGUAGCUAUCUGAGGCUUUGUAGUUUGAUUUGUUGUAUUGCUUUUAUGGUGUUUCGGUGUAGUAAAAGAAUGUAUGACUCAGUGGAACUUUUUUACAAUAAUUAUUUCCAUAUAUAUGUAUUCCACUGUUUCCGUUACUUUUGGUAUAACAUUUUAAAUUUGAUAUUUUAUUGAAAUGCUCCCUUACGGUUUCUCUUGAUUUCCACAUUUCCACAGAGGUCAGGCGAUAACGGGGUUGCUGUCCCAACUUCUCAAUACAAUCCCCUAGAUGAGCCUAGCCCUUUGGGUCUGAGGCUCAGGAAGAGCCCGUCUUUAUUGGAAUUAAUUCAAAUGAAGCUUGCUCAGGGGGUUCCUCCUACAGCUGGAGCUGUACAAAGAGAAUACCUUAACUCUGGUGUUAAGAAGGAGAUUAAAGGAAAUGCUGCAGUGGGGGCUACUGAUAAGCUUAAGGCGUCAAAUUUUCCAGCUUCAAUGUUAAGGAUCGGUAACUGGGAGGUAUGUUGAAGAGUUUCUGAGUCAUUUAUAUUGGAUAUUGCGACUGCAAUAUGCUUGGCAAAUCCAUUUAUGUUUCAUUAUUUACUGGCAGUACAAAUCAAGGUAUGAGGGUGAUUUAGUGGCAAAGUGUUAUUUUGCAAAGCAUAAGCUUGUCUGGGAGGUUCUUGAAGGAGGCCUCAAGAGCAAAAUAGAAAUCCAGUGGUCAGAUAUCAUGACUCUAAAUGCAAACUGUCCUGACGAUGGACCUGGUACUUUGAAUGUUGUGGUAAUGCCUUUGAUUUCAUAUCUCUAUUUACAUGUGUGCUCAUUCUCUGGAUGAUAAAUUACUUAUUUGUAUUUUCACCUGGCAAUCCCUUUUAUGUUGCAGUUGGCUAGACAACCUCUAUUCUUCAGGGAGACCAACCCUCAGCCUAGAAAGCAUACUUUAUGGCAAGCAACAUCAGAUUUUACUGAUGGGCAAGCAAGCCUGUACAGGUAAAUUCAAUUGGUAGUUACAGUUCUGCAGUUCACUGAAGAUCUCAAAGUUAGUUUUCUGCCACUGUAGCUGUGUUGAAAUGUUUUGAAUGCUUUUACUUUUAGGUCUUCAUGUAUUUAAGGUUAUAGGUUAUUUCUCCACUGCACCUAUGAAAAAUUGAAUUAUUUUUAUUUCUUCCAAUUUAAACAAUUCUGAUGAUCUUUAUUGUUCACUGCUGGUGUCACAUGGUUUUGCUUUCUGUGUUUGACAUGGAGCUGAAAAAUUAACUUAUAUGAUUAAUACAUGUUCUAUCAGUCUUUAUGAAGUUGCAGUAUGAAAUUUAGGAUGCUGUUAUAUUGAUCCAAUUUCUUUGGGAUUGUGUUUUGCAGGCAACAUUUUCUGCAAUGUCCACAAGGACUGUUAAACAAGCAUUUUGAAAAGCUCAUCCAGUGCGAUACACGUCUUUGCUUCUUAAGUCGGCAGCCAGAGAUCGUUUUGGAUUCACCUUAUUUUGAACUGCGGCCUUCUGUAUUUGAAGACCAAGGUGAAGCCAAGGGCCAUGGUUUUGACCAACUGGCAAGUGGUAAAGGUCCCUCCAUUUCUGGUUUCCAGGAUAUAUCAUCACCAUCUGCAAGUCAGUCAUCAUCUUUGAAGACAGACCCGCAGGACUCAGCUGGUAUGACAUUAGAGCAUCGGUCCAGAGAAGCUCCUUCCCCUAGCUCAGGUAUGAUAACCUAGCAUUUGUUUCUAUGAUUGAGGUUACCUUUAAUUCCUGUUUCUGUAAAUAUAAGUACUAUGUUCUGUAAAUUUGUUCACAUUGUUUCUUUAAUUUUUAUGACAUACUUGAUGGUGCAAUUAGAUAGGUUAUAUUGGGAUGGUUUCCUGGGUAUCUAUUUAGGAUACUAAUACCGCUUUUAGUUCACAAUCGAGGAAUCCAUAGAUUUCAGAUUCCAGAUAGGCUGUUAAAAUCAGCAAGGAAUGUCUGUCAAUGUCAGAAAAUUUUAGCAACAAGGCUAGGAGAAACUCUCAUGGCUAUAAUUUAAUCUUGAAAUGCUGGGUACUUGAUUGUUUAGAUGUAGUGAAGAUUGACGCUCUGUAUGAUCAAAGUCUAUUAAAUGCAGGGGCAGAGGCAGGAUUAUAAAUUAACAGGGGUGGGGGGUGGGGGGUUUUAGUAAUUAACUUUUUAAACCGAAAAAAAAUGAAAUUUGGAAUUCAUAUAUAUAGAGAAAUAUAUUAGUUCAUCGAUUACAACAUAUUUGUACAUUAUAGUGAGAAAAAAGAAAUUAUUCAUUAUGGAAUUGAUUAUGAAUAAAGUAUAUUGCAAGAGAUGAUUAAGGUAGGAUAUAAAUUGUAUAAAUCAAACCUAUUAACAAUAAAUGGUGCUUAAUUAUGGUUUAUUGGGGGGCCAAACCUUAUAAAUUACAAAGCCUCCACUUCAAUUAUAUUAAACCUCAAGUAUAAUACACAAGUUUAAAAAAAAUUAUGGGGGGUGCCAUCGCACUCCUUUGUAUGCUAGAUCAUGUUUUCCUUGUUAUUGCAUGAUAUAUUACUUGCAUGACAAUAAAGGCUGCAAUAGAUUCAUGGCUGGAUGAUUUGUCAGUCUGACAGGGCUCCUGUCACUGUACAGAGAAAACUUCUGUGCACUAAUGAUUUGGACUAGCUUUGCAUAACUAAUGUCUGUGACAUUGAUAUAUUUAUAGUGUGAGUGUGUGUGCUGAAUUCUUAAGUUGAUCAAUAUCUGUACAUAUUUGGUUAUGAUAUCUUGUAUUGAUGAUACAAGAUGUUGACCCCAAAAAAAGACAAGAUAGUUACUAGUCUUUGUGUUGUUAUGAGAAAUUUUAUUCACAUACCACCAAAUACUUAAUACACAUCCUAUUUUUUAUAAAUUCAACAGUAUAAUCUCGGAGUAUAUUAAAUUACCAAAAGAGACAUUACUUACUUUUGAUACUUUCUUCUCCUCUUAUAAUUGUAUGUUUGUCAAUCAUGAACAUUGAUCGUUCAAAAUAAAAUCAGCAAAUAACAUUAUGAUUCCUAUAUAACUAUAUUAGUGUUUCUCAACCAUCAUCAUUUGAGUAUCUUUCUCAAAUAAGGAAAAAAAAAAAAACCUUCAAUAGAGUAUUAAUCUCGACAUCAUUUUGAGAAGGAUUCAGUCUCGAAGCCAAGUCUUCUUUUUCAGCCAUGGAAGGUAUGGAUACAGAACAUCUCAAUUAAACCAAGUUGUUCUUACCUUGUACUAGUAGUUAAUAACUAUAGAGGGGUGUGUACAGUUGGGUCUUGCCCAACGGAAAACAUGGGAAGUACAACAUAAAGAUUAGCCAGGUUCUUCAUCUGUAGAAUUCCUAAAGAUGGUGAGAGGAUGUAGCCAAUUAAGCUUUCAACUUAUAAUAAGGUUCAACAUUAGUUAUCUCUGAAUUGGUGAACUUAUCAAUUGAUCAAGAUCAAGUAGAAAGGGUAUAUGUUUGUUGGAGCCAAAGAGAUUAAGAAAACACAGAUCAAUGAACAAGGAGGGGGCUGCAACAACUCAGAGUAACAGUAUUGAAUUAUAAAAGGGAUAUAUUGUUGUGCUUUUUUAUUAAAGUUAAAAGCAUAAGAACAUAAUAAGUACUGAAGCUUUGAGGGAGGAAAAUGGUCUCGUCAAGUUUCUAGACCCGAAUUGUAAGAGUUUGGUCGCCUAGGAAGCUAUAUGAAAUUAGGAUGUGUAUUUAAUGAAUAUGUGUGGCAUUUUGUGAAUUAGGGUAAUUUAGGAAGUUUAAGGUUGUGUAUAUAGUAAAAUGUUAAAGUAAAAAAGUUAUUAAGUGGUGUAUUAAGUAGAGGAUGUGUAUCUAGUAUGUAGCAAUGUGUUAUUUUUGUGCCACCCAAGAUCAAUGCUAAAUAUUUUGAUUUUGGGCAUGUUAGAAUCUUGCAUUUAAAGUCGUGGAGUCAUGCUUUAUUUUAAGAUUGUGCUGAAACUGGUUAGGGCAGUGAUUGAAGGGAUCUGCCUUUUAUUCUAGGAUUACACUGUUAUGCUUGGUUGUACAAAGUGAGACGUUUAUUUAAAAUUAAGCAUGAAUGCAUGUGUUUGGUGGACACUGACUCAUUGGUUGCCUUUAUCAUACUAGUUAUGGAUGCUCGUGCAAUUGAAGGAAAUGGCAAUUCUGAAGUUGUUGAUUCAAGAGGGCCAAGAAAUUGGGAACAGAUAAAAGUGCCUGGGCUGCAUCCUUCAAUGUCGAUGAGUGAUUUUAUGAGUCACAUUGGGAACUGUAUUUCAGAACAAAUGACUUCUGGAAAUCCGCCUUCUGCCGAUCAACAGUCAGAAUACCAGGAUAUUCUGGAGGACAUUGCGCAGUACCUGUUGAGUGACACUCAAUUAACUGCUGCAGAUGAGAGUCAUGAAACAUCUCUCAUGUCCAGGGUCAAUUCUCUAUGUUGCCUUUUGCAGAAGGACCCCGCUUCUCUCCAGAAUUCACAGAUUGAAGUUGAAGAAACAGAUGGUGGAAGAGAUAUUCAUCCUAACCAAACUCCUGUUGGUACAUCGGGAACUCAUAUGCAGGCUCCUGAAGAGGAUAUGAAGGAUGUUUCUGGGGGGAAGAAGGCACCAGGCAUGUCGAGAAAAGACUCCUUCGGGGAAUUGCUAUUUCAUCUCCCUCGCAUCGCCUCUCUUCCCUCGCUUCCGAAAGUCUUGUUCAACAUUUCGGAAGAUUGUGAGAGUCAAGGUAGAUAGUCAUUUUUCUCCAAAGAACAAAUCCUAAUGCGAGCUGAAAUACUCAUCCGCACCCUCCAAAUUUCUCCUCAGUGUACACAGUGAAUAAUGCUGGCUAUUUCAUACUAUUGUCCGUCACCAAAAGCUUGUAUUAUGUUGGGAGACUGGGAUUCUGAAAUUUGUGUUGAUGAAGAAUCCGGAAAGAUUUCCCACUGUACAAAUGACUGUACAUCAUGGUUAGUGUUGUUUGGUUCCCUUCAUGCCGUAUGACCAGCUUAAGGCACCUGUUUGUAAAGUCUGUUGACUAUUUAAGAAAAAAUUUCAGUUUACCUCCCUAAUAUUUGGUGGUAAAAUCAAUUCAGUCUUGUAACUUUUUUUUAAAUCAGUUCGCCCCUUCAACUUUCAUAAACACAUCAGUUUACUUUUUUUUAAAAUCAGUUCGCCUCUUCAAUUUUUGUAAACACAUCAGUUUUGUCUAAUUUUUGAAUUUCUCUUAAAAUAUGACGUCACCAAACUGACAAGGGGACCUAUUUUUAACAAAAAGUUGCAGAACUAAACUGAUUUUCACAUCAAAGAUUAGGGAUAAACUGAAUUUUAAAAAAAGUUAAAGGGGCGAACUGAUUUUAAAAAAAGUUACAGGACUGAACUGAUUUUGACAUAAAAAAUUAAGGAAGUAAACUGAAUUUAAUUCACUAUUUAAAUAUGAAUGAAAGUUUUAGUUAUUCAGCUUGAUUACAAUUCCAGAAGAAUAGGAACUUUCCAGAACCAAUUGUUACUUUUCUUUUUAGAAAUAUAGUUUCCUUGUUGAAAACAGUUUUUUUUUUUUGUUCCUGAUUUUGUAAUGUUUAGCAGACCAGAUAGUAAGAUGAUGAGCUGAAGGAUAAGAGUGAAGAAGAAAUUGAUGGUAGUUUUUAGAAUUGUUUCCCUGCAUAACUCAUGCCAUACAAUACUCUACAAAAUCGGCAAACCUUGCUUCCUCCUAUAGCCCAAAGAGACAAAAAGCCAAGGGGUACAGUGAGUCAAUGGGGGUGGACGAGGUCAUGAUUAGGGCUGAGGAUGGGACGGGAUUAGGGUCAUCCCACGGCCGUCCCGAACAUUGCACACGGGACGGGAUCAGGACGGGUCUUACGUUUUUAAGACUUGAUCCCACCCAAGUCUCGUCCCAAACGGGACCGGGACGGGACAGGCCCAAUCCUGCUAUCCCGGCCCAAUAUCAAAAGCCCAAACUAGAAAAUAAAAAAAGAAGAAAGAAAUUUGGUGACGUGACAGAGAUACACAUAUAUAACCUAGUUCUACAUCAAUUAGACAAUUACUCAAUUACAUAACCUGAGUAGCUGAUAGUGAUACCAAUAAAGAUUACAUAACCUGCAUUCAGCCAUUCACAAUAAACUUAUUCAACUUUAUAAAUAAUCAAGCAAGAGAGUGAAGCUUCUUUGAAUACACAUGUUGAAUACACACAUAUAGAUAAUCACAUGCAGCAUUACAUUCAUAACAGUAAAGAUAGUUCUGAAAAUACAUAUCCAAAUAUUCUGAAAAUACAUAUCCAACUUUAUAAAUAAUCAAGCAAAUAAAGUUCUAGACACAUCAACACAAUAUUCAAACGAACUCUAUUUUGGUUUCAUACAUUAUUGAAUGUAAUAUCCACAGCUAAAUUAUAAAGUUGAAUGAAUUCUACCUAUCUGCUAGCAUACAAUUCCAAACAGAAGAUCCAACUCCAUUACUCCACAACAAAACUAACAUAGAAUCCUAAACAUUUCUAACAUUUAAGAGGGUGGAAAUAACUGAUGGAAUGUACAACAACUUAUCAACAGGAGUAAAUCUACAAAGCAAAAAUUAUAUGAAUACGAAGAAGAACAGCAACAAGGCAAACUGCCCCUGAAGUGAUGUUAAAACUAUAUCUUUGCACCUAGACAUGUAGCAAGAAACAAUUUAGAUGAUCAAGGAAUAGAUAAAAAAGGGAUAUAGUCUUGUUAUCCUAGCUAAAGGAAUCAGUCGAAUCACAAGUUAAGAAAUCAAAUGGUAAAAUGCAAGAUUAAGAGAUAUUGAACAAGAUAACACCCAAUAACUUUAUCUAGCAAUCACUAAACUGUUUUCAUAGCAUUAGAAUACAUGCACCCAAAUGGAAGGUACCAGGGAACAAUGACAGAAGAAGACAUCACAAAUUCAACAAUCUACCAGGGAACAAAUACAGAAGUCCUCAAGUCGUUGGAAGUCGUGAAAUUUUUAGCACUGCUGCUAUCAGUAAACUUUGCAGAAUCGGGCGGUGAGGAAGCGAAAUCGGGCGAGGAGGAAGCAAGCGGUGAGGUUAGUGGAGGUGAGGAGGAAGCGGGCGCCGAGGCGAGGAGGAAUCGGGCGGUGAGGUUAGCGGAGGCGGUGGAGGAGUUCAAGGAGAACUUCGGCGGAGUGGGAUUGAGGUUUGGCUGGAUUGGGAUUUGGGGUUCAUACUGCUUCAGAUUAGUCUAUAUUUUACACGGGACGGGCCUGAUGGGCCUAAAUUUUUCAAUCUCGCGUCCCGUCCCAUUGUUUCUCUACAAGACGGGACGGGACGGGCUUAGUGUUUUUAGACUUAGAUCGCGUCCCAUCCCGUCAAAUUUCGGGACGGAUUUGGACGGGACCAAGAUUUAGGUUUUUUAUGCCCACUCUUAGUCAUGAUCAUUGAUCGUGGUGGGUGAUCCAAGUCGGUGGAUGAGGUGAUUGGUGCUGGUUUUAAUUCGUUGAUUAACAAAUGAUGGUGGUAGAAUGGCUGGGCGGGUGGGACGGCUUUCUACUAAAAGCAAGAGGCGUUGCCGGUCGUUGGAGCAGAGGUGACAAUGUUAGCUGGUUGGGCAAGGCAGAUUACUGGCAGUGGUCAUUUGUCUUGUGGAUCCUCUAUUUGAGGGCUAUGUUGCACGGACACUUUACGCCUAGACACUCUGACACGUCGACAUAGAGCCCGACAAGGUAAAAUCCGUGUCCGACACGCCAUGUGGUGUGUCUAAAAAAAUUAACUUUUUAGACACGCUGUGGACACGUUGACUAGCUCCGACACGCCACGUCAGUAUUUAUUUCAGAGUUAAAAAAAAUAAAAAUAAAAAUAUUAGCUAACUGGCCUGGGGCACGCGCAGCACUAGCAGAGACAGAUUCGAUCUCUUGACUCCUCUCUCCUCUGAGUCCUCUCUCAGCCGAGUGCCGACUCUUCUCUCCUCUCUCUGCUGAGUACCGAUUCGAUUCCGAUUCGAAGAAGACGUUCGCCGGUCGCCACCCAUUCGAUCUGUUCGCCUCGCCAGUCCGCCACCCAUUCGAUCUCUUCACUGAUCUGAUCUCUUCUCUCUGCCGUCCGCCGUUGCCGCCGUCGCUGUCAUCGCGGUCGUCGCAGUUGCUAAGGUUGCUCUCUUAUGCACCUAAAACCUUGAGGCCUCUCUCUUAUGCCCAGAGCUACGGUUUCAGUUCACUUUCCACCGCCAAGAAAUUGCUUCAAUUCCAAGGUAGGUUCUUUACUAUCAAGCUUUGAUAUUUUGUGGGUCUGGGUUGGUUUUGUGUGUUGGGUAAUCUGUGUUGGACCAAAAUUGGAACUUUUUGUAUUGCUUUGAUGCCAAAUUUGUAUUAGAGACAAGUGUGGUUGCAGCUUGGUUUGUUUGAAUUAAGUGACUAAGUUAUAUUUGAUAGUUGGGAAGAUAUUGAAGUAGAAGUGAUAAUGUUUGAAAUAUAAGUAGGAGAGGAGGAUGACAUAGUAUGGUUUUUAAGCCAGAAAGGUUGGAUUUUUAUGGUGUUUUGGGGGGUGAAUUCAUGUGCCAAAUGCGGCAGAAGAUUGGAUGAUAAGGUUUUGUUCAGGGAAAGAAAAUCAUAGCAUAUUUUUAUAUCUGAAAAAGUGAAGCUUUGGGAGGGAACAUGGGUUUAGAACUCAUGCAUAUGGAGUUAUUGUCUCUUUGGGUCAAAAUCGAAGAGGAACUAAGCAAAUGAUAAGGAAUGAAUCUAGUGUAAAAAUUAAGAAUAGUGAUGAUGGAAAGAAGUUCUGCACAUUUGAAAGUAGUCCCAGUAUCAGUUUACCCAAUCUUGCUGGAAAAUCAUCCUACUUCCUGUGCAGCUUCAGCAGGGCAUAAUAUGGCUGAAUUUCUUGGACUUAAGUAGGUACUUACUUUGAGUCGUUGAAUAUUUUUGAGAAAUAAGCUCAUCUAUCAAUCAAGUGUACUAUGGUCAGCAAAAAUUAAUUACAAGAAAAUGAAAUUUAAAUCUCCCCCUCUCGUUUUCUCUAAGAGGAUAAACUUUAUCUUCUUGUCUAUUAGGUUCUGCUGUGCUAGAGAGCUAGUUGAUGAUGAGAAGGAGUCUUGAAGAUGAGAGGUAAAUUUUCUAUUCAUUUUAUAUUAGAUCAAUUAGGGAAUAACAAGUUUGGAUGGAUUAUGGAUAUGAUAAUUAUAUUAGUUCAUCUUUUUGUCUAUUAGGUGCUGCUGUACUAGAGAUUACCCUUUUUGAAAACAAGUUACUGCUCAAGUUUGUUUUUCUUUAAUGUUAUGUUCUAGGUGCUCCUUUGGUAUUAGUUAUGCACUUAACUUAUUUCUUAUGGUUAUGAAAUAGAUUGAAUUUAGAACUUUAUUUGGUAAUAUAAUGAACUUAUUUCAUAUUUUAGUUUUUUUUAUCUAUUAAAAAUACAUAAAUAUAUAAUUCUAUUUGCCGUGUCCAAGCCGUGUUGGAAACUCAGUUUUUGAGUUUUGCCGUGUAGCCAUGUCGUGCCGUGUCGUGUCACCGUAUCCGUGUCCGUGUCCGUGCAACAUAGCUUGGGGGCAAUGUUGGUUUUUGCUGUGCUUCUUGCAAGUCUUCUUUUGUUGUGCUUCUUGCAAGUCUUCCUUUGUUUUCGUUUGGUUCUAACCAUGUCAAAUAGAUUUCAGUCUUCUUUUUUUUCCAAGAUAACGGACUACAGUCUUUAUCAGCUUAGUUCCUAGUUAUUCUAGCUAUACACCAAUUCCGUUUCUAGGCGAGUAGUUUUACUAUGAAAGGGAGUUCGUGAGUUUUCAGUGAUUUGAUUUUUAGGCUCCAAUAGGCGAGCUCAUUUGAAUGCAGUAAUGGUUACUUGUAACUUAGUUUGGUACCCUGUGGAGUGGCGUAGCCAGAAACCAGAACUAGAAUGGUCAAGAGUUUAAACAAUAAUGUCACACAAAAUAAAAACACAAUCUUUAUUAAAUGGUAGAAUGGUAGGACUUUUCAUCAAAUAAUGUCUUCGCACUCGAUCUCGAACAUUAGGAUCGUAGUCUAAAAUUGGAGUCCGAAGUCCCGGAUCUCCAGGAAAGUUCUCUAUGUUAAACUCGUUGACAUAAUGGUUUGACGUACCAAUAUCUUCAAAUGCAUUACUUGUACCAAUAUCUUCAUAUGUAUUACUUGUCGGGUGAGCUUGAUAUGGUGCUAAUGGAUUUGUCAAGUUUGCUUCUUCUAGAUGAUGUUCCGAAGUACCUUCGUUAAAUCUGUUUAUUUUUGGAGGAGCUUUAGAUUGUGCCAAUUGAUCAGCUGUUUUUCUCGUACCAUAUUUUUUGAAUAAAGCUAAAGCUUCCAUAAUUAGGUCAACAUGGAAAAGAAAAAAAAACGAAAAGAAACGAUUAAAACUGUUUUAAUUGAUUAGGAAAACAUAUUAGAAAGACAAAAAAUGUUAGGAAUAUGUUUGAAUUGCAAUAUCAGAGGAAGAAGAAAUCAAUCAGUGAUAAGGAUUAAGAGUCUAUAUUAAAAAAAUAAAGAGACCCACGUGAAUAUCAGUUGAACUCCUUUAACUAAAUUGGAUUAUUUAUGACAAACUCUUUUUUUUAUGGUUAGGAUGGUCAACUUUACUGACAACGUCACAUUCUAUUGACCAAUCAUAUAACAAUAUAGCUUAAUAUGGAAAUUGAGAGGCGUCAGUUGAAUCCUAUAACUACUACGCCUCUGGCUGUGGUCAUAUAUCUGACCAAAGACAAUUAUUGAUGUACAUGCUUAGAAAAAAAAAAAAAUACCAUCUUACACAGCAUAUCAAAAACUAAAAUAAAAAAAGAUCAUAGAUACUAUGCAUUCCUUUAGCAUCUGGAUUAGAAAUGCAAUGCGUGUACAAAUUUGGGCUAUAAUCAAAGAGCUUGCAACAAGGUAUCAAAUCCCCGGAAGCUAUAUAGUGUGCUGAAGAACGUAUGUUAGAUUACCCGGAGUGAACUAACGAGCAUAGUUCCAGUAGGUAACGAUCUUGAAGCUGAAUAAUAUUUCCAUUAUUUACAAGUUCAUUGAGAUUAUAUACAUACGGGCAACAAUGGGAGCGAAGACAAUUCUAUUGGGAACAUCAGCUGUACGGAAAAGAGAUUUAGUUCCAAAUUCCCAGAAAAAGGAAAGGGAAUAUACUGUUAAAUGCAAUGAUUAUAUAUGUACACUUGAAAUUCUUCCAUCACGUCAAUCUGCCUAAAACAGGGAUCAGGAAGGAGGUGGUGAAUGAAUGGUGUCAGGUAACAUGGCUACUGUCACUACGAAGUAUUCACAGCCAAUAGGGAGACCGUAUGGGUUCGAUCCUGAAUUCAAGGCCAACUGGUCAGUCCCUGUGUCAGAUGUUAGCUCAUGCUCAAGCCGAAUUGGAAUAGCCGAUGGCUUCACAAUCUGGCGUUCAAUAUGCACAAUUUGUCCAACAAUAUAGUUAGGUUGACGUGGGAGAUGAUCUGUAAAUAGGGCAACAGAUUCAGCAGAGAGAUAGUAGUUAGAGCAAUUUCGAUUGAUCGCCUCGUAAUGCCCAGUGGCAUUGAGAACAAAUGCAGCUAUCUCAUGGACUUCCAUACGGCCAAAAGAAAUCUUCUCCUUGUUUGCCUGCAGAAAUAUUGGAAGUAGAACACCACUUGUUAACAUACCAUUCAGGUAAGAAGUAACAAUUUUACAGAUAUGUAUAAUUACAUAGUUAGACAGAGUAUGCAACAGAACCCAACUAAAAGUUGAUCAAAUGUGAGUUCAUGAUAAACCAUGAAACUAAAGGGUCUAUCACUUCCGAUGUAACCAAAUGGGGGGUUUUUACAAUUCUUAUUAUUAUAAGAAAAUUACACUAAUCGAAAUAUUAAGUUACCUGUUUCUCAAGUUGAUGCUUUGUGUACAAUGUUUUAACCAGAUCCUUCUUCUCUUCCAAUUCUUUUCUAAGCUGUUCAUUUGCAGCUUCGACCUUUGGAUACUUGUCGAGCAGCCCUUCACGGUGCCUUGACAAGAAACCAACUCUAUCAGCGAGGACCCGGAUACACUUCCGAAACUCAAGGGUACCAUCAUCUUCAUUGUCAUUAAUAGAGCUGAAACAUAACAAAGCCAAAACCACCUCCAUUGUCAACAAUACAGCUAAAUAUUCAUGGGACAGAACAGAAGUUAGAUAUAUUCUUUUCAUUUCCUUCAGUUUAAAAAAAUGCAAAUAGGGUUAAAAAAACCUUCAGAAGGCAGAGAAAGGUCGGAGGCAUGUAUUGUUCGACAAAGCAAUACUGAUAGUAAUAGAAUUUGUUAAAGGGAGAUAAAACUUGUGCAUGGCAGAACUUACUUUCCCAGAGAUUGUGCUAAACCACGCAAAGAAUCAACGAAACUAGUCAUUCCCUGUGCAUUAACACAGCUGCGAAGCCUUUCAAAAAGGCCACGCAUUUUCACAGCAGAUGCUCGCAGGGCACUGUACUCUGAGGCCCUACGAUCAGCGGCACAAAGAUGAGUUUGCGCUUCCUCUCUUGCUUCAUGCAAACAAUUCUCCAAGUGAGCACAAUUCAUCUGGCAAGUACAACAAUAAAUACAUAAUUAGAACAUAAAGGUUAUCAUCAAGUGAUAAAACUAUAAGACAAAGUGCAAGUGAUUAACAGAAGCAUCGAUAACUAAACCAGACACUAGGGCAGGCAUUCAUCCAAUUAAAGAGAAAAGACGAAAUUGAUGAUUUCACCAACCAAGAAGAAAAUUGAGGAUUGUUAUGACAAGAGUACAAAACAAACAGUGUAAGUCACCUACUAUUUAAUUUCUGUCGUGUCUUAAGUUUUCAAGACCUCACACUAUUAAGUUUUUGAAUGGCCACGAAGUUCCAUCAGAUAAGGUGUGUAAAAUGUCUUACACUAGGGUCAUGUUUCUUCUAUGAAAACUCGAGGCCAUUUGCUAUAACUACUCUGCCAAAUUUUAUUGGAUAAUAGUAUCUGUAAAUGAGAAACAGUGUUCAAAUAUUUAUGUCGUAAGCGUUCAGACUCAAAAUACUGGUUAUAGGUUAUAUAAUGUUCUCUAUUUCUUUUCCGUUGUGAAACACUUUAAAAACUAUUAUAAUCAACGAAUACUUGUUAUAUGAAACUAUGAAUAAUGAUCAAUCAACCCUCACCCUAGAUAAUCUGAGGCAAUAUAAACAUAUGCAUAACUUUUCAAAAAAAAAAAGAAAGUAUACAUGUGCAUAAAUGUAAGUUCCUCUUUCUGGGAAAAAAAACACAGGUAACAUAAUCUAGCACUUUCAACCGUAGCAUAGCAUAGGGCAAGUGAAACUAGCAAGUGAAUGGUAUUAAACGACACUUACUAAACAACCAAAAAAAAACCACAGGUGCCUUGUAGUCUCAACUAUAGAAAUGUUAUCAAAUCCAAUCAGUAUAGAAAACAAAAAUCUUUACGACUCCAAACUCACAAGAAUGAAACAACGAAUAAAUAAAGGGGAAGAAGCCGUGACAUCCAAGCAAAUAUGCUUAACUACAGAAUAUGUUUCAACAGACAAAGAGACAAUGGGAAGGACUGAAAUUGCAAAGGAAGAAAUUAAGAGUAGUAAGAUGUUACAAUACCUGAGAUUCAUCAAGGAGCUUCCUAUUUGUGUCCAAUUCCCGCUUAAGCAUGGCAACAUCCUCCAUAGCAGUUUUAAGCUUGAUUUCUGUUUCAUUCAACUGGUUUGACUUGUUUUUCAGUAGAGUUUCCAAUUCCAACAACAGCUCAGUACUGACUCUAGUGCCAUAGCCUGGGUCAACUGCUGUUUCACUAGGAGACACAUUCAGAUGUUCAGGCAUGCUUUCAGCAGUAGAACUGUGUGUCAGUGACAUGCCCAGCUGCCCCAUUAUUUUUUCUUUGCCAUCUUUACCACUGCCUAGCAGUUCUUCACGACUUAGCUCUUGCAUUGAUGAAUCCAGUUGAUGAUUAUGUACUGCAGAAGAGUCCAUCAUAUUUUCAUCAGCCCCAUCUCGCAUUUUAUCAGCUCGUGCAUUGAAAAGACCCAAUUUGGCAUCCAAAGAAUUUGAGAUGCAUGAGACCUCAUCCAUGGGCUCAGUAUUAGAUAAGCAAGGCGUGCGGGCUUCUCCACUACCUAAUACUUGCUUGCAGUCAUCAACCUUAUCAGACAAAAGGGUGAACUUAGAGGCAUCCUUAUCAUUUGAAAGCUUCUGACCUUGCAAAUACUGAUCAGAUAGUCUCUGUUCCAAUUCUUGAAUGCGUUUCUCAUACGAAAGACACUGCAGCUGCUUCGUCCUAAGCAUAGAUUGCAAAUGCUUUCCAUACUCAUCUUUGAGGUGCAAGGCUUCAGCUGUUUUCGCUGCAGCAUCCUUCAAUAAAUUAUCUGUUUUACUGUCAUUCAAUGAUUCAAAGUCCGCGUCAGGCCAGAAUGAACAAAUCAAAGCUAUUGCAGAAGCCAGUUCAGCUUUCAGUUUUGCAUUCUCAACUUCCAACUUACUAGUUCCAGCAAUCUCUACUAAUUCACAGCCUUCAAGUAGCUCCUCAGAGUCACAUUUCUCAAGGUCAUCUAAUGUAAGCUCCUCAGCCUCUGCAGAAUGACUGCUCUCAUUAGACAUAGAAAAUGAACCUCUAAAAGAACCCUUAGAAGACAGUCCUGUCAGGUACUCAGGUGCAUAACGGUCCAGGUCUGAAAUGUCAACAUCAAGUAAACCAGUAUCAAAGGGAGCUAUAUUGACAUCACAGUGAUUGGGGGUAUCAUAUAAACCCAUAGAUGCUAAUACAUCCCUGGGUAUGAACGAACUAUGAACUUUCAGAAACUCUUCCCGUCUCCUGACCUCAGCCUCCCUCUUUGUUGCAAGCCUCUCAGCUAACUGUCCAGCCAUGCCCAUGUAGAGCUUUAGGGAAGCCUUUCUUCUUACUAUCUCUGCUAGGCAGGCUCUAUAUGCUGGGCCAAUCCCACGAACCAACUUGAUUUCAAAAAACAAAUCAUCCUGGCGCACCAUUGCCUCUUUAAAAACAGGAAACUGUAACUUCGCAUCUUUGAUGAUAUAAGAGAUAUAUGUUAUCUUUUGCAUAUAAUUAUGAAGAAACAUGUUCAUUUCAUUCUUUUUGUCCUUGCAAAAGUCAAGUAGCUUGGAAAUUGCAUUAUCACAAGCCUGCAUCCUAGGCAGGUGAUUUUUGUCAUGGACAUCAUACAUAGGGCCCAAGGCUGAAACCGCAUCAUGAGGACGAAGUGAGGAAGACAUUUGUGAAGACAAGCAGUCAUCCACAAGCUUCUUGACAGUAUUCACAUCUUUGCUGCAUAGACGAAAAUCGUUAACCAUAUAAACGACAUCAAAAAAUUCAAGUCAAAUAUUUAUGUAUUUCACAUCAGUAGCCGAGAUAAAGACACAUAUGUUAUACGAACUCUCAAGUCAACCCCACUAAAUAGUAGUUUUAGCUUUAUCCCAAAACACAUUCUUUAGUUGAAGGGAUAUGAUCUGGUUCUAUUCUGAUCAGGCUCCACAAGUUCACAACAGUAAAUAGUAUGACAAUUUAUUAUCCUUCUCUCAGGGUUGAUGUAUCUGUCUCAAAGAUAUAAACACACAAAAGGAAUUUCUUACAGAAAAACAAGGGGAGGAUAAAAAUUUAAGAAGACCACAAAAAAAAAAAAAAAAAAAAAAUACUAACAGAUGACUCUAUGUGAUCUUCUACAAUAACAAAGCAUGCGUUCAAUCAUCAACCUUCGCUUAUCUGAUAUAAAUCAGAAAAAGAUAACUAUCUUCCAUUCACAUUAUCACUUUCCUCAAGCUUUAAUAGUGUGAGCCUUGAGCUUUAAAAACGUGAACGGAAAAGACAAAUCUUUUUAAAGGUUCCUUUUGUUCAAGAAUCUAUGUUGUGUCAUCUCAUUUCUUGAAACAUCAUAAGAAUUGAAUGCAUUACGUUCCAGGAAUGUUUCAAAGUUUAAUUUAGGAAAAAACCCAGCCUUCUGAUUUUGGAAGCAACACAUGAACCGUACUAUUCAGGUCUAUACUGGUAAUAAGAAAUACAAAACCCACAAAUGCUCAUAUAGCUGGGAUUCGUAUCUUCACUACCCCCCUUUCUUUUCAAUUUAUCUUCCUUGCUUACAUCACACUGCCCUAAGUAGGCAUCUAAGUAAAUUUAUAUAGCGGAACUCCUAAUAAAAUCUCUGCACAACAUAAGCCCUUUAUCUAGCUUCAACAAAUGCUAAUGUAUACUCUUCAAUCUGGUUCUUUAAAUAAGGAUCCACAUCAUCUGACAAACAAAUGCAGAAGUAACAAAAUCUGUUUCGGGUAGGCCCUGAAAAGAGAAGGAUUGAACUUGCAUGUCUUCAUACAGUGAAGAAGCAGUACAUAUCUUGCAGGCAACAAAACAUGACUACAAAACCAGAAAAAUCAUAGUAAAUUAAACCAAUGUCCGUGUCUGCAAGGAUAACAGAAAAGUAAUCCUCAUGUGUGAACUUCCAAACUAAAUCUAGAAUCACCCCCUUAAAGUUAUAAACCUGACAUACAGAGCAUAAGACAUAAACUUGCAUAACUCAUGGAACAAUGUUGCUGACCACUGUAAAAUUCAAAGACAUUAAAGACCCGAAACAAUUUAUGGAUCUCCCAACAAUUCAUAAAAAGAAAUUGGAUGCAGACAGACAACCAGAAAGACAAUAUUUGGCAAUAUUUGAAAGGAAACUAACCUCAAUGACUGCAUUAUACUCUUCUGCUCAUUAAGAUAUCGUUGGUGCUCCUUAAUUGUCAAUUCCAAAUUCCUAAUAGGCAAAGAUGCCAUGUUAGAAAACAGUUCCUCAACUUUUCGCUUCACCUCACUAAACAUCUGCUUGAACUGUGAAACCUUAUUCUCAAACUGUUUAUGGGAACUGGUACAAUUCUCCCUCACUUUCCUCAGAUUCUCUUCCUUUACAAAAUCCGAUAAGCAUUUACGGUUAACAGUUUGUAAUGCAGGAUGAAGCUUGAUGGAUCUCAGUUUUUCUACAUCCCUCCCAAGGUUCACCAAAAGAUCAGAAUGAAUCCGAUGUUGUUGUGAAUAUCGCUUCAUGAAUUCUGUAUAGUUCUGGUUUAUCAUCCUAUAAUAUUGAUCCAAAUUACCCUUGGCAACCUCCACCGCCCUCUGUUGAACCUUUUGCUCCCUCAGAAGCCUUUCACAAUUCUCAUAUUUCACUUGGGUUCGACUGUAAAUUGCAUGACCCUUGUGGUAAUGAAACCUGAAUUCCCUUUCAUAAGAAGGUAAGGCUUUCAAAGCAGGAUCUGAAGCGUCAUCCAGAGCAUGACGAUCAUGUGAAGCCGAGGGUGAUCUGGGUUCAGCGAUGUCAAGAAUAUCAACAUGCUCAACAGGAGGAGGGGAAGAAUUUGGUUGCAGCCUUGCUUUAUUGAAUAUGAACACAUCCUGGCCAUCAGCUGGAAGCUUAUAAGCAGAAAGUGGCCGCUGUGGCUCAAGCUUCAUAUCCAAACACAGAACAAGCUGGUCAUUGAUAUUGAUAUCAGACAGUGAUUCAAUAUACCGCAUAACUGCCUCUACAGAUGUGGUUUCUUCACAAUCAAGCUCAAAUGAGUGCCCAUUUUCAGCAAUAUGCACCAAAAGCUUACCCUCAUGAACCAAACCCCCAGUGCUACUUGAACUCAUCUUAUCCAAAUCUCCACCACAAGCGCCCCCAGGCAACCCUAUCAAACAGCCACUACCACCUUAGUCAGAUAAAGUAAUUUCUUCCCCCACAACCACAACCAACCACUUCAAUUCAACCCCUCUAAAAUAUCUGACCCAAAUCAAAAUUCCCCAAAUUAUCACAAACCCACCGCCGAGCUUCGCAAACUUGACACAAUUCUGGGCAACCCACCUUGUAUUCGAACGAAACACCAAUGAUUACCCAGAACUUAUAAAGAAACAAUAACCCCAAACCAAAUAAUAACCAGUACAAUUGUCCCCAACAGCAACAACUUCGAUCCGUCCAACAGCAGCUGACAAUGAAUUGAAUCCCACAGAGGAGCCCCAAUUCCAAGAGUCAAACAAACAACGACACCGAAAAAUGAAAUAAAAGGACCCACAGUAUCUUGAAACCAAAAUCCCUUGAGAAAGUUUCUCAAAAACCCUUAAAUCCUUCGCAAUCACAACCCAGAAAACCAAGUAAAAAACCGAAAUCCAAAUCGAGAAACUAAUAAGAUCAAACGAUUAUGACACGAAAGGGUUUGAAGUGAGAGAGGCAAGAAAGAUAAUCGAAAGCGAUUACGUGAAGAGGAGGUCCCUCAGCACAAGUUUUCCACGAAACCCCUUUCGAUAUAUUUCUUUUGUUUCCUUAGUAUAACACAGCAGUCUACCGUCUACGUUUUCUCUAGCUUCUCCUUCUUCCACAAUUUUUAUUUUCCCUUUUCUUUUUUCUAAACAAAACAACGCAGAGAAGCUUAUGAGGGAAGCAACCACCGCCUAGCAGACUCUCUCCCUGUCUCUGUCUCUGUCUCUCUCCACAAUUAAAGUUUUCGAAGUACAGAAACCGAAGCAAACAGGUUUAUAUCGCCAAGCCCACGAACAAACUUUGGGAAAAAAAUCAAAAUAUAAUUAUAUAUAUUUUUUAAAAUAAAAAACUCAAAUUACAUCACACCCAAACGGAGUUGUUAAAAACAAAUUGUUACUAAUGUGACUGACUCGUUGGAUGCAGAAUAAUAACGACUUGUUGAAGACCUUCCAAGUUGGAAAUUGGAUGCACAUUUGGAAAUUGAACCGCCCUCCCAAGUUGAAGACUCUCAUAUAGACAAUUGUUGAUAAGAAAAUUCUUACUAAUGUGUAAAGAGUUAGAGGAGGUUUUACUACUCUUGCUACUUGUCCCAUAUGCAAUAUUGAUGAUGAGACUCUUUUGCACCUUUUCAGAGACCGUCUAAGAUCAAAAGCUAUUUGGAAGUCCAGGUUCUAUUUCUAAUUCUUUUUCAUUUGAUUCAAAUAGUUGGCUUGCUGCUUAGAUGCAUUGUCAUACCAGCAUCAAAAACAACAUUAAAUGGUGCAACCUUUUUGUGUUUGUGUACUAGUUUAUCUGGAAAUGGAGAAAUAAGGUGGUUUUUGAUCAUGCUUUUAUUUUGCAUGCCUGCCCCUGAGAAAAUUAUUUGGAAUUAUGUUGAGGAAUGGAACAGUACUCAAUCUAAAGCUAAUAUUAAUUCCAUGUGCAGCUAUACUAUGUUCUCUUGGUGUAAGCCUCCUGGGAAUUAUUUCAAAUUGAAUAUUGAUGGAAGUAGGUCUACUAACUCUAGAAAAAUUAGAGCUGGUGGAGUUCUUAGGGAUCACCUAGGCAGUUGGGUGGACAGUUUUCAGGUUAAUCUUAGAACAGGUGAAAUUCUAGAUGCUAAAGCUUGGGGCUCUUUUCUUGUCUCAAAAUGGUGUUUAAGCAUUCAAUUGUCAACUCAGGGAUUGAAUCAGAUUCUGCUAUUCUGGUUCAGCUUAUGCAAAAGUCUGAGAAUAUUGUUCAUCCCUUGAGAUCCUUACUUGAUGGUUAUGUUAUGAUGAUGUCAAAUCUGCAGAAUGCCAAGCUUAGUCAUAUUUUCAGAGAGUGCAACAUGGUGGCAGGUGUCUUGGCCAAGGAUAGCAUCAACCAUGAUCCUGGUUUAAUUACUUUUGUUGAAGCUCCUGUUCAUACUGCUCAAGCAAUUUUGGAUGACCUUACUGGUGUCACAAGAGCUAGAAGGACUGGUUUAUGUUCCAGUUCUUAGUUUUUCUUUUUGUUUUCCUUUGUUUGGGCCUUUUAGGUUCCUCUUGUAACUAAAAAAAAAAGUCGUUACUAAGUGUCACAAACCGAAGUUUGCGAUGCGCACAUAGAACUUGCCAAGCACUUGAUAUCCAUGACCUGGUAGCAAAGUCAGCUGCUAGAUACGUACAUUGCAAAGAACAAUUAAAAGCCACACAAUAUUAAUAUGGUAUUAGCGCGACAAGUAGAACAUAAUUAUAUAAAUGUUGGGUAACCAUAAGAAUAUUUUAGUAAAACCUCGAUAAAUAAAUAUAUGAUAAAUUAAUGAUCUCGAUUAAAUAAUUAUUUUUUUCGGAGAAAUUUAUUUCACUAUUAUUGUUUCCUUUCAAUAAAAGAAAUCUUUUUCAAAGACUUAAAAUGAGCUUGAAGAGCCACCGACAGUCGAAUCGGGGUUGAUCCCGACCAAUUUGCAAUAUAAAAUUCACGAACCUUAAGGCACAACCUUGGAAGAGUUUGUUGAUUGCUGGAAACAGAACAUACGGUAACCGCAAAUUCGCACAAUUACUUCCCCUUGUUUGGUCCAAGUAGUACCAGACUCCUAUUUUGUUGAUUGGAGAUUGAAAUAGAAGAACAAAUGAAUUGAAGAAGAAAGAGACGGAUAGAAGAAAUAAUUAUGGUAAAGAAGAACAAAUAAAUUGGAGAAGGAAGAGAUGGAUAGGUAAAUGUGUGGAAAAUGAAGAAUAGUAGUAUGGUAUUUAUAGAAGAUUUUGUUGAUUUUGUAAAAGUAAAACGACAAUUGGAAUGGUUUACUCAUUUCAUUAACAAUCCUCUUUAUCUAGAGGUCAAUUACGAUGGUAAUUACACGCACAUAAUAUCGAUAUUCAAUUAUAAUAACAACGUACAUAAUGACUAAUUGAGCUGUUACAUUCAUUGAUUAAUAAAUUCUUAAUUUACUCUCGUCAAUUAUUUUGACAAAGACACACUCAAGGUAUUUUUCUUUCAACACUCCCCCUCGUGCCAAGUUAAAGUUAAAACGGUGCAUGGGGUGUUGCCUCAUUAAAAACCUUGCUAAGUAACAAAACCCUGUGGGAAAAAUAAAAGCUUGGUUAAAGGGGAAAAAGAGCACAACGCACCUAUGAUAGUGUAUGUGUCAAGACCCACCCCGACUAUCACCCUAAAACCCAAAGUAAAUCAUGCGGGGUCCCUCCAAGGAAAAUUUACCGAAAAUUUGGCAUAAUCUAUCUUGAAAAUGGACAACCCUUACCUGAAAAAAAUUUCAAAUAAACACUUCUAUUAUAAAUCAUUCAUCCUCAACUCCUGGAGCCAUCCUGCUCCCCAAGUUCAUCACAUCUCCCAAAAUACAUCAAGCUUUAAUCAACUAAUAACAAUCUCAAAUGGUUAUCAGAGCAUAUCAAUAAUGAAGGAAAAACAAAGAAUAUAGAAUAAGGGGAAGUAGUCUCUGACUUAGCAUGGAAACUGGGUAUUUAAAACCAAAGGGCCAAGGGGAAAGUAAUUUAAAAACGUUAGAGUGAGUGGACAAAAAUAAAUUAAAUAAUUUAACAAAAAUGUAAUUUAAUAUUUUCCCACGUUUGAACUUUUAAAAUCUCGAUGCACGCAACUUUGAUAUAACAUUUAACUUAAAAUCCAUAAUCACAUAAAAAUGGACAAACCAGCCCCGUUGGUUAAUCAAAUAUAAAAAUUUCGUCAGAAGAGAUAAACCAGCCCCGCUAGUUAAUCAAUUACAUAAAUGAGAAAAAAAUAAGACAAGGGGAAGAUAUAUUACCAUGUAAGAGGAGCCUCCAAGUCUCGGGUCGGUGCCUCUCAGAUUAUAGUAGCGUCCCACACUAAGCGCUCGACUCACCUAUAGUGAGGACCGCUAAUAAGGCUACCCAGCAAUAAAUAAUAAUAUCCGAUCGGUGCCUCCCAGGCUAUAAUAGCGUCCCACGCUAAGCGCUCGACUCACCUAUGAUGAGGACCGCUAAUAAGGCUAGCUAGUAAUGAAUAAAAGCGACCCUAUAAUAUGGUGACUAAAAAUAUACUAAAUCACUUAAAUCCAUAAAGCUUCCCCAAGAUCAUACGAAUGAUACGGUUCCCAACCGUACUUGGAAAUUAUCAUAAGAAAUUAAAAUAAACUCAAUGACGUGUCUCACACGUCAAAAUAUUCUCAAAUCCAUAAUUAUAAGCGAGAUUUAAUUAUCAAAUAUAAAUUGUAAAUAAUUUCAUAAUCCGAAAAUACUCGCUAAAAAUAUUCUGAAUGUCAAUAUCGAUACUUCACAAGUAAAUGAGAAAGUUAUAAAUAGAGAACUAUCGAAAAUCUCAUUUUCAGUAAUCUUUUAUAAAUCUCACAAUCAACAAAAUAAAACUGAUAAUAAUUAAAUCCGGAGUCAUAAAGAAUAUCAAAACUCAAAUACUAACUUUAAAACCCAAGCUCAAAUCCAUAAAUCAUGACCAACACUUAAUCAAUACUUCAAACUCAAAUAAAUUCAAGACCAUAUCAUAAACCGAAAUCAUAAUAUGAGCUCGGUAAAUAGAACAAUAAUUUCCAAAAUAAAUCAUGCAUGCAUAUUCCUUUAAAAACCAAGUGUUCACUCACAAAUUUAGGCAUAAGCCCGACGAUAUCCGCAACGCCAUACGUGUGAGGUCUCCAUGAAUCCUAACACCAUAAGCAUAAUUAGAACCACCAAUUUUGGAAAAGUAAAUGCUUUAGAAUAACACCCCGAAAAUCUUCUGCCAAACCACUACCCUAGCUAGGGUUAAGUUUAUCGAAUUCAUGCCAAACUCCAACCGCAACCUCACUUCAUCGAUUCUAGCACUUAAGGACCAUAUCCAAGUAAAUCAAAUGGUCGGAUUUUCAUUCUAUCUAACAACCGCCAAAAUUCUCAAUCUUCGAAAAAUCCCAAACGUAACCAAAACUCUUCCAAAAAUUCCAAACUUCAGAUCAUUAAACUCCUCUCAUUAAAACAAAUUCAAAAACAUGAAAAACUACCCCUAAGCGGCAGCAGCGGCCGGCAACCGAACUACGACGACCUCCAAUGCUCCCCAAAAUUUAACACAAUAUUCCUCUCAACACGCAAACAACUUCUCUAACUAGCACAAACACCAAUUCCAAGCCUAGAGGGGGUAAUCGAACCAAAACAUUAAAUUGAGCUCAAGAACUUCAAUUAUACAUUUCUCCUUAAGAUCGAAUUGAACCGAUUUCUUUUGAGGGGUUACUACCCUGAAUGAGAGCUACAAGAUGAGCCAAGAAUUGCUAGCUAUGGCUGCCGAAGGAGGGAGCUCUGGUGAAGAGGUAGUCGAGUUCUGUGGAGAAGUUUCUCCCGAUCGGCGGCGCUACACGCUCGGUCACCAGCCCAGGAAGAGAGAGGUGGCGACGGUGGUUCGAUCGGGACUGGAGCGGCGGCCCAUCUUGGCCGAACGGCGGCAGACGACGUCGGGAAACUUCCGGCAGGGUGAGAGAGUGAGAGAGAGUCGAGAGGGAGGAGAGAGAGGAGAGAGUAGGGUUUGGGCUUUUCCCAAACCGGUCCAACACUUAAUACCCCAAAAAAAAUAAAGCCUACUAAAAUUUACCCCUUUUUUACCAACAAAAAUUUACCCUUUUUUAUUUUAUUUUUUUUUUAUCUGAAAACUUUUACAUGUUAACUUCGAUUUUAACGUAUAAUAUGUCCACGAAUUCGUAUUAACGUCCUCUACGACUUCCUUAAAGUAAUUUUCCCAAAAUAAUUUUCCUACAAAAAGUCAACCCUAGGGUCCUUAAGUAGUAAACUGUUACUCAAAACGGUAAAACACCAAAGUAAUACUAAAAGUAAAUAACCGUAAAAUAACUUAAGAACCGGGAUGUGACAGUAUGUGUGUUAGACUCCCCUUGAAGUCUACUGUCACACCCCAACUCAGAAAUUUUAAGAAAAUAUGGUUCUUUUCUGAGUAAAGAUGUGAAUAAUUUCAACUUAUCAAGGAUAAGAAAAACUUUGGACAAGUAAAAGUUAUAUGAGAACCCUUGAAUCAGAGGUAACUUAAUGAAGGAGUAAACUUUAUUUCAUAAAUAUUGUUCUUACAGCAAACAGGAAAGAAAGCUUAUAAACUAAGCUUUAUUACACAAAUAGAAUUUAAAAAAAAAACAGCAAGCCAUAGUUUACUCCUCCUAGACUUCAUCCCUUCUAGGUAUUAAGUUUUUAUCCCUCAAAGAGUAACAUCUGCACAAAUACAUAAAGGGGUGAGCCAUAAACUCAGUAGAGCAAAUCUCAUGUCAUUUCAAUAAACAAAUAGUGUAUGCACAUAUAUAGGUUAAGUUUUCAAAUUGGUACUCUUGUACUAUCCUUGGUCACCACUGUCUUCUUGCCAUGAUAGAGAUCAGUUUAUCAAUUUGAAAUUGAAAUGGCUUCUCUCCCUAUUUGUAUACAAAAGGCUGACAUAGCUAGUCCCUUUCAAGUGAUAGACUCAACCCCAUAACUUCAUUCAUUCAACAUAGGAUCAAAUAAUAAUAUGAUGUUGAGCUAAACAUAACUUCAUUCAUUCAACAUAGGAUCAAAUAAUAAUAUGAUGUUGAGCUAAACAUAAUAACUAUCUUUAACAAACAACAUGUACAAUUCCAAAGAAAGAUAACAAAAUUAUAAAACAGAGAGAUUCCCCAUAACUUCCCUUACCUCAAACCUGUUUUACCAAAAUUGAAAUUUCACUAUUAGAUACUAGUACUUUGCUUCAGACCUCCAUUAGUUUUUUUCUUCUUCUAACUUUUCUCUAUGUUUCUGAACUUUACUUUUUUUUAUUUCCUCAGGUGAAUACCUCUAUUUAUAGUAGGAAAAGUAAUCAGCCACCUGUAGCUUCCCUAGCCUAUCUUAGUUAGACACUUAUCAUUCUAACUGUUAAUUUGCUGCCACAUAUUAAUGUUAAAACACUUGAAAUUUAUCUUCAAGUGCCAGCAGUUGUUUUUAAACUUGAUGUCUAAGUUUAAGCUGCUCACAUAGCAGGUAUUUGCAAUCCACAAGUUUGAUUGAGGUUUUCAGACUUUCACUUGUGAUUGCCUGCAUGUAGUCAUGUGUUAAGCAUAAGCUAGCAAGUAGGUGAAUCAGCAUUUCAAAUAAAACAAAGCAGCAAUCCAAAAAUAAUU
RNAcentral lists this long non-coding RNA (72735 nucleotides) under Fragaria vesca (wild strawberry). RNAcentral's name for it is "long non-coding RNA (FVES_LNC005512)". Lineage: Eukaryota; Viridiplantae; Streptophyta; Magnoliopsida; Rosales; Rosaceae. The record is from RNAcentral.